AGUCUACAAGUAUAAGUCACCACCACCUCCUUCCCCAAUUUACAAGUCACCAUCACCACCUUCUCCAGUAUACAAAUUACCUCCACCACCUCCUCCAGUUUACAAAUCUCCACCACCAUCAAUUUAUAAAUACAAGUCUCCUCCACUACCUCCUCCAGUGUACAAGUCAUCACCACCACCUGCUUACAAGUCUCCACCUCUUCCAGUUUACAGUUCCCCACCACCACCAAUCUACAAGUCUCCACCUCCACCCUACCAUUACUACUACAAUUCUCCUCCUCCUCCUCCUCGUCACUACUAAGCAAUUGUAUGCAAGUUUUUGAGGUAAUAACGCUUAACCAAUAAACUAACUUUCGCAUGAUAAAACUUAUCUCUAUCAAGACAAACUGCCAUGUGUAUCAUGCCAAAUACGUACACCUAGAUCCAUGAAAAUGAAUGGUAGAAAAUUUUCUUAAGAACUAAGGAACAGCAUUAGUAUUCCCUCUGCUUCCAAAAACUUGUGUAUUAAAUAGAUUAAUGAAUUGUUUAACAUGCUCAUUUACUUGAAAAUACACAAUACCCAUAACCUACUGAAUUUUUUGCAGGAAAAGGGAAAGACAAUCUGUGUUUGAGAGCUUCAUGAAGAUGUUGAAGAAUAAGAAUAAAAGCCCAAUGCGAGGAUGUUUCAAGUUUUUCUAUGUUUCCACUUUAAUUUGUAAAUUGAAUUUUGUGACUCAAUUAAUUCCCUGUUUGUGGGGUACGUGUUGUUUUACGUACCAUGCCGUACAGGUUUGUAAGGAUUUCUAUCCUAUUGGCAAAAGUCGGUUCCAUACAAUUAAUCAAUUCAUUUCACUUCUAUUGGCUCUACUAUUUAUGCAUGUUACGACAUUUUUUCUCUCUUUCCCUUAUAUUUUGCCUUUAAUAUUAUUGAAUCAAUAUUAAUAAUGGGCCUUUUUCUUAAAAUUAUACUAUUAUACAUAGGUUGUUUGGUCUAACGCUAAAUUCAUGUUUGUCUUUCUUUUAUUCCCUUUACAUCUCAAAGUAUACUAUAGUUUGUAAUCAUUGUGGUGAUGAUAUUGCCAGCUGGUACUUAUAGUUUAAGGCAGAGACAUGAUAUUAACAACUAUCUCAUUGAAACAUAAAGAAAAAUCAUGACAAGUGUGAGUCUUGGUUAAUGCACAAUUUGUUAGUGGAAUUUAUAUUUAUAAAACUCAAAAAAAAAUUUUGACAAUGCUAUUACUAAUUAAUUAAGGACUUUAUUGCUAUAAUUUAUCGCUUACUAGUUUAAACUAUAAAUGAUCUCAAUACUUUUCUCCAUGAUGUCGAUUUCUUUAGAUUACGAAAGGGAAAAAUUAGUGACAUAUCCCUUACUGAUUACAACAUCAGCAAAAAUUAGUUAUAAAUUUUUCCGGUGGUUUUAAAUCCCUCGGGCACUAAGAUUUUUUGCACAUCGAGUGAAUUGAGGAACAUAGGCAAUUCGUUCUGCAUACCAAGUCCUUGUUUAAGAUGCAAGUACUAAAAUGCAUCCACUUCAUUAAUUUGGGAAAUUGCCAUAGUUUUUUUUAAGCAUUUUGAUUUUUUACAUGAUUCAAAAUUUUCUUAUUGGAUACAAUCACUUUGUAUCAAGAACAUUUUCAAUCAUCCUUUUUAUCUUCUCAAUAAGAAAAUAAAAAUUUAUUCAUGCUUUUCUAACAUAUCCAAUCAUUGAUCUGAAAAAUAAAGAAUUUAAAAAAAAAGACAUUUUCAAUCAUUGCUUACAGGGCAACUUCCCCAUGUGAACCUCUUCAAACAAAGCCAAUAAUAUGAAGGAACAUCUAAAUACACUUUUGCCCUAAAGGCUGGUUGCCUUGGGGUCAAAAUUUAACCUUCGGGAGUAUAAUUACCCUGCCAAAUUUAUUAUUUUUUAUGGGUAUAUAGUUCCAAUUUUUCCUCCUGUUAAGCUUAUAAAUAUAUUAUCACCCAGAAAAUAAAGGAAUCUUGAAUACUAACAUGUCCAUUUACUUGAGUUGUCAUCAAUUUGGCUACUUCGAUUCCAUGAGGGCAAUCCAAUUCACACUUGCUAGAGAAAAUGGUGAUAAAGGCACAAAGAAAAUUAUAUGUAAUAUUGAUUGGUAGUAACCACCUUGUAUUGAUCCCACUAUUGUGGAUACUCGUGCUCUUAUGAAAAAAAAUUAUAAAAAAUUAGCAAAAUUUAAAAGAACAAAGUAAAUUUAUUCGUACAAAUCAGUCAAAGAAGUAGCAUUUUAAAGACCAUGAUGAAAUUAAUACUUUCAAGGUCUCUAUUAGGAAGACUUCCUUUGUUGGUGAAACUACACUAGGUACGGUUACAUGCAGAUGUUUACUGUUUUGGUACCUAAUUUCCUUGCCUUGAGUUGGGUGCAGAUGUUUAUAUUACAAAUAGAUGGUAUCAUAAAUUUGUUGUAUUAACGUCUGUUCUUUUUUUUCUUCCUUAAGUUUUUUUCUUUAUUCUCGUGACUUCAAAAAUACGAACUCAAGAAAUUAACUGCUUCGACAUUAAGGUAUAACUUCACAACUAGAGCCAAUAGAAAUCGUCAAAUGAUUUUUUGACAUCCAAAUUAAGCAAUAAAUUUUGUUUUCAUUUCACGGGAGAUUUUAUAGUUUCUUUUGGGUAUCAUACCUACAAGUGAUAAUUGUCAUUGGAUAGUGAAAGAAGUGUUAAUGAUUGUAAGAUUAAAUAUUGAAAAUUUAAACUAUUUAUCUUUAUUGAGAGAUACAACUUAAAGAAUCGUAUCCAAAAGAGACUAUAGAAUUUUCUCUGUUUUUCAUCAUCUGUAGACAUAAACUUUCUACGGUUGAUGUACUAUAAGGAAAUUUUGCCUAUACAAUGUGAUACCAUUUUUUCAAAAAGACAAGAUGGCAAAUUGCCCCCUUGAACGGAAAAAAUCAUGAUCUUUCCUCAAACUAGUCUACUUGUCAAUUCUUUGAAAAAGAAUACACUGCCCCGCAGAAUUCUAGAAAGUUAGGCAAAACUAGACAAGUUGACAGCUAUAAUCAUACCCAAGAUCAGGAACAAGCAGUUACACAUUUCAAAAUUCGCUGCUGCAACAACUAAUUUGAUGACUUACAACACUAAAUGGUCAAACUUUGAAUGGCAAUGAAUCUUUUGUUGUACAUCAUGAUGUAAUUUUCAUGUUACAUAAUAGAUUGAUAUCUAUGUUCUUUAAAUUAUCAUAAUAAUUAAAUUUAACUGAUAAAAAGAACACAUAUCAAUACACAAAAGUGUGUAACGUGAAUGUUAUAUUAGUGUAUUGCAGAAGACCUAUAGUCUCUUCACAUCUCUUCCUGCAUCUUUUAUGUUUUAUUACCUCCAAAAGCCUUUACAGGGUCUUUACCCUAAAAAUCAAUUCACCGACUCGCAUUUGAUGUCAGAAAUUCUUAAGACGAAUUCUACUUUACUCAAAGAUUGACUGUUAAUAAUGAGACAACGACCAUUUUGUAUUAUUACACCGUCCUUCUUGAUAGGCAAAAGAAAUAGAGAGGAAAGCGGGUCCGUAUAUGGUCUUUUAUUCAUAGAUAAUACAACAUUACGCCAUCGAGCAUUCACACAAUAUUUCAAAGUCAUUGCAUGCCUAAAGCCCCGCUUGAUAAUCCAAUUUCAUACUUAAAUUUAAUGGAUUCAAAUUUUAACACAUUCAAAUUGUUUGAUAACAAAAAAUUGAACGUCUAAAUUAAUUAAGUAACACUAAAUUUUUUAGACAAAACUUGCUCCCAAAAUUAAGUGAUAAGCUAUAUCACUUAUCACUGAAUGUGAUAUGCAUUCAAAUGUAUUAUAUUUAAUACUUAAUAAUUUAAUAAUUUAAUGGAUUCAAAAUUCAGAUUUUAGAUUUCAGUUUUAUCAAACAUACCCUAAGUUGCAAAAUAAUACCAAAACUUGUUAUUAUAUAGCUUGAGAUUCAAAAAUUUAGAGCAUAAUUCUCAACCUAACACAAUUGAAUAAUGAAUAUUCACGAUUGUCAAAUCUAUCAAAGUACAAUUUGAGGACAACCCAUUCCAACGCGUACACAAUUUCUCACUUUUCUAAAGUUGUUGAGAGCUGUUAAAAGAGAUUUACCAUGUUUACAUCUUCCAAGUCUUGGGAGUAAAAAAUGAAGCCACCGAGUGCUAUAAAAAGGGGGCUAGAGGCUGCCUAGAAGCAUAUCAGCCUAAAACAAGAAUUUGUAGUAACAAUGGGGAGCAAAGCAAAAGCAACGGGGUCUAGGCUGACUCCUCUUCUUACCACUGUUUUAGUGGUAUUUGUCGCCCUUGGCUUGCCCUUGGAAACUGCAGCUGAUUAUUACAAGUAUUCAUCUCCUCCUCCUCCUCCUUACCACUAUUCUUCACCACCACCUCCAGUGUAUUCACCUCCACCAACCCCUGCUUAUAAGUUACCCCCACCAUCUCCUCCAGUUUACAAGUCCUCACCACCACCUUACCACUACUCACCACCUCCGGUGUAUUUACCUCCACCAUCUCCAGUUUACAAGUCACCACCACUACCCCCUCCGGUAUACAACUCCCCGCCUCCACCAGUGUACAAAUACAAGUCCCCACCACCACCUCCUCCAGUUUACAAAUCUCCACCGCCACCAGUUUACAAAUACAAGUCACUCCCACCACCUCCUCCGGUAUACAAGUCUCCUCCGCCACCUGUUUACGAGUACAAGUCUCCUCCACCACCUCCUCCAGUGUACAAGUCCCCACCACCUCCAGUUUACAAGUACAACUCACCUCCACCUCCUCCCCCAGUUUACCUGUCUCCACCUCCACCCUAUCAUCACUACUACGGUUCUCCUUCUCCUCACCACUACUAAGCAAGUGCAUAAGUUUUGAGGUAAUAAUACCUAUCCAAAACUUUAUCAACACAAACUGCCAUGUAUAUCAUGCUAAGGACGUACACUUGAUCCAUGAAAAUGACUAGUAGAAGAUUUUUUUUAAGAACCAAAGAAAUACAUUAUUUUUUCGGUCUGUUUUCAAGAAUUUGAGCAGUAUACAGAUUAAAGAGUGUUUUUUUUUUUGUAAACUUGCUUGUCAACUUAAAAAUGCACAUAGCUGAAAGCCAACUGAAUAUUUGCAGGCAAAGGAGAAGGCAAUCGGUGUUUGAGACCUUCAAGAAGAUGUAGAAGAAUAAGAAUAAAAGCCCAAUGCGAGGAUGAUUCCAAGUUUCUACGUUACCAUUUCUACAUCUAAAUUGACUUUAGCUCCUGAGUUCCAUGUUUAUGGGGUUUGUACCGUUUUACGUACCAUGCAGUACAUGCUUGCAAGGUUUUCUGUCCUGUUGGCAAACUGCAGGUCCAUAUAAUAAAUGAAUACUAUUUACAUUACGACACUUUUCUCUUUUUCUCUUAUAUUUUGUCUUUAAUAUUGUUGAUCAUUUUUUUUUUAUCAAAAGCAUCAAAUGCUUAGGUAAUUUGGUCUAAUGCUAAUUGUUUUACUUUUAUUUUUCACCUACACCCCUUUUCAACUCAAAGGAUGCUAUAGUUUGUGAUAAUUGUUUAAGACCGAAGCAUGAUACUAAUAAAUAUCUCAUUGAAAGUCAAGGAAACUAACAUUAGGAAAAGUUUAAAUCUUGAUUUGAUGAAACUAUUUAUUCGUGGAAUUUAGAGAUACAAAACUCAAAUUGUGACGGUGUUGUUGCUAAAUUAUUAAGGACAUUAUCACCAUUAUUUUUCCCUGAUCACUAGUUUCAACUGCAAUGAUCUCAAUCUUUUUGUGACUAAUUCUUUCCUUAAUAAUUUAUAAAGACAAAACUCACAAAGAAUAUGUGACUAAUUCUUUCCUUUCGUCUUCUAAAGAAAAUGCCAACUGUUAGUUUAUCAAGGGGAAAAAGGAUCGACAUCAGUUAUUAUUGAAACUAGUAAGGAAUAAAUAAUGGUGAUAAUGUCCUUAAUAAUUUAACAACAGCACCAUCAGAAUUUGACUUUGAGCUUCGGUCUUAAACAAUGAUCACAAACUACAGCAUCCUUUGAGUUGAAAAAGGAAGUAGGUGAAAAGAAAAGUAAAAAAUACAAUUAGCAUUCCCUCAAAUUGUAGAAAGUUAGGUAGCAUUAUAGACAAGUUGAUAGCGGCAAUUUUACAUUUCAAACUUCACCUAUUCAAUAACUAAUUCGAUGGCUUGCUACAUGGUCAAUCUUUGGACCCCUUCCUGCCUCCAGAUAUCCCUUUCCUCAAUCAGGGGCUUCUACAAUUACCAGUUUCAAUUGUAUGGUAUAGUGUAAAUAUCAACAAAUUAGAUGUAGAUGCUAACAUAAUAAAUGUGAAUGCUAAGACAGCAACAUACAAUCGAACCUGCAAUUGUAUGAACCCCAAUCUCGCUUCCUAGUCCACCAUCUUUCUCUAGGUAAUAAUCUCCCUUCUAAUUUAUUCACAAAAUGCACCUUUCAUCACCUCCAAUAGCGUCGACAUGAUCUUUACCCUAGAAGACUAUUCACCGACUCUCAAUUGACGUCAGAAAAUCUAAGAGUAAUUCUACUUUACCCUAAGAUUGAUAUCAACAAGACAAGGACAAUUUAGAAUUAUUACACGCCUCUUCUUAAUAGGAAAAAGAAAUAGAGAAGAAAGUCAGGCCAGGUCUAAUUUCUUUUCAAAGGCAAUACAACAUUACGAAAUCAAGCAUUCAUUCAUACAAAUAUUUCAUAGUCACCGGUUUGCUGAGUAGAAAAAUUUAGACAAAAACUUAAUAUUAUAUUGUUUAAGAGUUAACAAUUUAGAGCUUAAUCUCCUUGUACUUUGGAGUUAACAAUUUAGAGCUUAAUCUCCUUGUACUUUGGACUAAACUUGAACGUGAAAGGAAAUCCCAAAACCAUAUUGGGCAUGAAUUCACACUUAAUAUACCCAAUAAAAGAUGGCGACUGGUGAAAGGCAGUGGAGACUGGUGGAGAGAUUUGAGGAAUAGAAGCAGACGGAAAAGCAACAAAUUUUUGCCGAAAAACGGUCACUUUCAUGGUUAAUUUUGCUACUCUCCAAUUGUACUUGACCAAUUACAACAAUUUCAUGGAGUUUGAUACGUGAAAAGAAUUUUUUAUAAAUUUUAUUUUGAUCCAUAAUGUUAUCUUUACAUAUAUAAAACAUUUUACAAUUUUGAUUUUGGCGCAGCUAACUUUUGGUUAACAAAAAUGCUCAUGUUUAAAAAACCAGAAAUAAAACAAAACAAGAAACAAAAGAAAUAAGAGGGUAGCAUAGACAUUUUGGAUUUUUCCGUUAAUUUGGAUGAUUUCCACCCACGUUCUAAUUUAAUCCAAAACACAAAGGAAUUACGUAGAGGUUUUAAAUAAUCAGGGAGCUUCAUGAUCGAACCCCAAACCACGUGAUAGCAUACAAGAGUUCUAUUUCACUAUCGGUAGACAAAGACUUUCUAUGGUUGAUGUACCGUAGGAAAAAAUCUGCCUAUACAACGUGAUAGCAUUUUUUCAAAAACACAAGAUGGAAAAUUGCCCCCUUAAACGUGGAAAUUCAUGAUCUUUCCUCGAACAAAGAAUACUCACGCCUAUUCAAGAUGGAAAAUUGCCCCCUUAAACGUCUAUUUGUCAAUUCUUGAAAAAAGAAUACUCACGCCUAAAACACGGCCUCUUCAUCUGCAGAAUUCUAAAAAGUUACGUAAACUCUAUAAACAAGUUGAUAGGUACAAUCGUACCCAAGAUCAAGUACAGAUAGUUGUACAUUCACUGCUGCAAUAACUAAUCUGAUGACUUACAAACAUAUCAUGGUCAAUCGUUGAAUGGUAAUGAGUCUUUUGUUAUGCAUUAGUAUUAGUGUGUACACUCUAAUAGAUUGAUACUUAUACUCUUUAAAUUAUCAUAAUAAUACCCUUAAUUAACUUUAACUCUUAAAAAGAAUACGUGUUAAUACACGAGAGUGUGUAACCUGAAUUGUUACUUAUACAUUAGUGUGUAAUAGAUAGGGAUGGCAGUGAGGGCGAGUGCCCGCGGGGGGCUCUCGGGGCGGGGGCGGGGGAGAAUUUUUUCCCCCCGUUUAGAAACGGGGCAGGGGACGGGGGAGUAUACCCCCGCCCCAUCCCCCGCCCCGCCACCCGCAAAAAAAAUUAUAUAUAUAUAAUUAUAUAUAAUAUGUAAUUUAAUUAGUUAUAAACUUAUGAUAAUGAUAUUAUUAGUUAGAUGUAUUAUAUAAUGUAUAUUAGUGUAUGUAAUAUAAUUAAUAUUAUCAAUUAUACGAAUAAUUAGACAUGUCCACUAAUAGAGUUUAUUAAUUAGUUAUACUAAAUUUACUAAUACAUUUGUACUAAAUUUCUAAUUACACUUAAUAGAAUAACACUUUUUUCUAAAAAAAAAAGCACAAACACAAUAAUGAAUUAGUGAUUGUAUUUGUACCAAAAGUGAAAACUUAACUAUUUUAGUUGUAUUUAUUUCAUCAUGUUGGAUUGUAUUCAAAUAAUUUUUGUUUGAUUGUUUUUAUGAGUUUCAAUUGUAAAAUUAAAAUGAAUAAUAACUUGAUGAUGUGUUGAUAUUUUAGUACUUGAUUAUUUAUUGAUUUAACUAUAAUAAAAUUUUAUUUUAUUAAAAUUUAACUAUAAUAAAAUUUUAUUAACCAAACGAGUUAUUAAUCCCGCGGGGGCACCCACGGGGGAAGCGGGGCGGGGCGGGGGAGUGGGAGGCGGGGGACGGGGCGGGGGUGGGGGGAGUUGUAGGUAGCGGGGCGGGGGAUGGGGGAGGGGUCCCCCGCCCCAACCCCGCCAUCCCCCGCCCCGUUGCCAUCCCUAGUAAUAGACUGGCAAGCAUUGUGGUGGUCAUUGAGAACUUACUGGAGAAAUAGUCCUAUAAGCUGUUCAAUGAGCAAUCACAACUUGCUAAUUGGAUGACUAAUAUAGCUCUAGCUGUAAUGUUUUAAUUAAAUUACAUCACUAACGUUGGGAUGACUUUUUAACCAAAAAAAAAUGCCUUAGUUCAAGCUUUUCCCUUUAUUGUGCAUUUUUUAAAGCAUUUGAUAGGCACUGCAAAUCUGUCAUUUUGGACAUUUUAUUAUUGACUAACAAUGAAAGCCGUGACGUCUACCCAUAACCAACACAAGAUUAAAUUAAUAUUAGAAAAAAUAAUUGAGUAAUUGGAAAAAAAAAAAGAGACUCAUUUUCAUUGAAACCCACCGACAAACUAAACGUGUCCAUGGCUUUUGAAUAGUGCAUUCAACGUUUAAUUGUAUAGUCCAGUUCAUUGCAGAUUACAUGGAGUAAAGAUUGUGCUCUUUCCUUUUUCACCCCUUUUGGAAUCGAUACUGUGGAGAAUUGGGUUUUUCCCUUCUUUUUUUCUUUUCUUUCCUUCUGUGCUUUGCAAAACAUAGGUAAAAAUAUGAAAUCCGAAGCAUUCUUUAAUUGGGAUUAAGUAUUGUUGUUGAAAUUAAAAAGAAAAAAGAAAGAACAACAAAAUUCCCAAUCUGGGUUGAUUGUUGAGCUCUAGAUUGGUUGCAUCGUGCUUCCAUAGAAGCUCUCUUAGUGUGAUACACUGCUUUCAAUCAGUUUAACACGGGAAAAAAAAAAAAAGAGAUGAAAAGCAAAUUUGGUGGGGAUAAUUUCAGAAACCUCCCCUGAAGAUUUUGACUAUUCUACUGGUCUCCCUUCAGAUUUUAAAAAUUACACUAAUCUUCCUUGAAGUUAAUUAUCUUGUAACAUUUAAAUUCAAUCAAUAAUUUAAAAAAUGAUAUUAUGAGAGAGAAAAUAAUGAUUUUAUCAUUGCCCCCCAUCUUACUACAUUAUUUAAUUAAUUUAAUAGCAACCCACACAUUAAAGAAAAAUAUUAAAAUUUGUUGUUUAUCAUUAAAGAUCAAAUCGCUUAUAACAUCAAAUAAUAGUAUAUUAUUUAUAUUUUUCACUCAAUAUAAUAUCCAAAUUACUCUUUUCAAUUACAUACCCAUUGUUAGACAAUCAACAACAAAUAACCAAAAAAUUUGCAACCAAAAUAUUACAAAAAAAUAAACUUUAACAUAUAAAUAUUCUUAUCAACAUAUUAAAGUUAGUUACUGAAAUUUUUAUGCUGUUAAACUUCACUCUUUUUGGUUACAGAUUUUUUUGAUUAUUUGUUAUUAAUUAUGUUUGAUGAUGGAUUUAUAAUUGAAAAGAACAAUUUGAAACUUACAUUAAGUAAAAUAUAUAGAGUGAUAUACUAUUUUUUAUAACAUAUGUGAUUCAAUCCUUCUUGAUAGGAUUGGUAAUAGAGGUAGAGGGGGGAGCCGGCUGCAUCCGGUCUACUUUUCAUAGAUAGUACAAUAUUGCGAAAUCGAUCGCAUUCACGCAAUAUUAUUUCCAAGUCAUUGCAUGGCUAAGCUGCAAAAAAAGUACGAACACAUGUUAUUAUAUAGCUUACGAUUCAAAACUUUAGAGCAUAACCCUCCACCUAACACAAUUGAAUAAUGAACAUUCACGUUUGUCAAAUCUGUCAAAGCACAGUUUGAGGACAACCCAUUCCAACCUGCAAAAGAUUUUUUACUUUUCUAAAGUUGUUGAGAGCUGUAAAAAGACUUACCAUGCUUGCAUCCUCCGAGCCUUGGGAGUUAAAAAUGAAGGCACUGAGUGCUAUAAAAAGGGGAAUAGAGGCUGCCUAGAAGCAUAUCAGCCUAAAACAAGAAUUUGUAGUUAAGAUGGGAAGCAAAGCAAAAGCAAUGGGGUCUGGGCUGACUCCUCUUCUUGCCACUGUUUUAGUGGUGUUUGUUGCUCUUGGCUUGCCCUCACAAACUGCAGCUGAUGAUCACUACAAGUAUUCAUCUCCUCCUCCUCCUUACCACUAUCCCUCACCACCACCACCAGUGCAUAUACCUCCACCUCAUCCUGUUUACAAGUACAAAUCUCCACCACACCCCCAGUACAAGUAUAAGUCACCACCACCACCUCCUCAUCCGGUAUACAGUCUCCUCCGCCACCACACACCCAGUUUACAAGUACAAGUCACCACCACCACCUCCUCAUCCGGUACCACACCCAGUUUACAAGUAUAAGUCUCCUCCGCCACCAGUUUACAAAUACAAGUCUCCUCCACCACCACCUCCAGUGUACAAAUACAAGUCUCCACCACCACCAGUUUACCACUACAAGUCUCCACCACAGUUUACAAAUACAAGUCUCCACCACCACCCCCAGUUUACAAAUACAAGUCUCCACCACCACCAGUUUACCACUACAAGUCACCACCACCUCCUCCCCCAGUUUACAAAUACAAGUCUCCACCACCUCCUCACCACUACUAAGCAAUUGCUUCUGAGGUAAUAACACUUGUUCAAUAUACCCACUUCUGCAUGAUAAAGCAUAUCUCUAUCAACACAAACUGUCAUGUCUAUCAUGCUAAGUGCCUUCACUUCAUCCACCAAAAUGACUGCUAGAAAAUUUUUUUUAUGUUACCAAAGAAAGGCAUCAUUUUUUCCCUCUGUUAUCAAGAACUUGUACAGUAUAUAGAUUAAAGAGUAUUUUUUUAACUAGCUUAUCAACUGAGAAAUGCAUAUAGCUGAUAGCCAGCUGAAUAUUUGCAGGCAAAGGAGAAGGAAACCAGUGUUUGAGACCUUCUUGAAGAUGUAGAAGCAUAAGAAUUAAAGCCCAAUGUGAAGAUGAUGAUUUCAAGUUUUUCUACGUUACCAUUUCUUUAUCUAAAUUGGUUGUAGCGCCUUAGUUCCUUUGUUUAUGGGAUUUGUAUCGUUUUACGUACCAUGCAGUACAUGUCAUGUUUGUAAGGUUUUCUAUCCUGCCGGCAAACCGCAGGUUCCAUGUAAUAAAUCAAUACUAUUUAUAUUACGACACUUUUCUCUGUUUCUCUUAUAUUUUGUCGUCUUUAAUAUUCUUAAUCAUAUUUUUAACAAAAAUAUUCAAACACUUAGGCAAUCUGGUCUAAUGCUAAUUGUAUGUUUUACUUUUCUUUUUCACCUGCUCCCCUUUUCAACUCAAAAGGAUGCAAUAGUUUGUGAUCACUGUUUAAGACGGAAGCAUGAUACUAAUGAAUAUCUCAUUGAAACUCAAGGAAACUAACAUUGCGAAAAGUGUAAAUCUUGAUUUGAUGCAACUAUUUAUUCGUGGAAUCUAUAGUUACAAAACUCAAAUUCUGACUGCGCCAUUGAUAAAUUAUUAAUGACGCUAUCAUCAUUAUUUAUCCCUAACUAGUUUCGACUACAACUGAACCCAAUAUUUUCCCCAUGAUAAAAGUUUUUGACUAUUUUACUGGCCUCUCUUCAAAUUUUAAAAAUUACACUAAUCUUCAUUGAGAUUAAUUAUCUUGUAACAUUUAAGUCCAAUUAAUAAUUAAAAAAUGAUAUUAUGAGAGAGAAAAUAAUAUAAUUUUAUCAUUGCCCCCCAUCUUGCUAUAUUAUUUAAUUAAUUUAAUAGCAACCCACACAUUAAAGAAAAAUACUAAAAUUUGCUGCUUUUCAUUAAAGAUCAAAUUGCAUAUGCCAUAAAACAUAGUAUAUCAUUCUAUAUGUUUCACUUAAUGUAAGAUCCCAAUUGUUCUUUUCAAUUACAAACCCAUUGUCAAUAACAAAUAACCAAAAAAUUUGCAACCAAAAUAUUACAAAAAAAAACUUCAACAUCAUAAAUAUUCUUACCACCUCUAGUGCAUUCACCCUCAUAAAAUAAUUCAAGACCCUACUGUCAUAAAAUGACUGAUCAACUCCCGUAAACCUAAUUUGACAACAUUUAAAUGGAGAACUUUAGCUAAAAGAAUUAUGGUCAAGCUAAAGAAAAAACCAGUUAUUUUCCAACAUAUGCAAUCAUUGAUCAGGGAAAAAAAAAAGAGCAAAAAGACAUCUUCAAUCAUUUAAUAGCUUACAGGGCAAAUUAACCCCUAAGCGAAAACUGGUUGCUCUAGAAUCAAAAUUUUACUUUAGUUACCCAGGCAACUUUUUUGUUGCUUUUUUUUUUUUUUUCCUUUAGUUUUGCCCCCUCUGUCAAGCUUAUAAAAUUAUUAAGAUAAUAAAAGUGCCUUGAAUAGUAUUAAUAUAUCCAUUGACUUGAGCUGUCGUCAGUUUGCGAUUCCAUGAGGCCUUUUCAAAGUACUCAGAAAAUGGGGAGUCAUGAAAUCCAUUUGUUCUAUUCAUUGCUAAGAUGCUUUUCUCUAUAAAGAGACUUCCUAACGAAAAUACUUUGUAGAUUUCUUUACUCCAAGUGGUGCAUGGAAAAUUAAUAUUUUCAAUUAUCAAAUAAAAUUCCCUUUUUUCGGCGUAGAUUUCAUCCAUCCAGCUGUUAACACAUUCUAUAAAUCCGAAUUGACUAAUCUUUUCGUUUCCAUUUUCCAACUUGCGAAUACGGCAUAUAGUGUCUGCUAAACACUAUAUAUUCUCUGCCAAAUAUGAAUACAUAUCACUUUUCUGAGCAAGUGCAGAGUCAUUAUCAUUUUUAUUCCCACCUAACAAAUUAGGGAUAAAAAAGUUAAUAAUCUUUACAUGCUAUCAGGUCACAAGUUAAUAAUCUUUUAAAGAACAUGUUAAAUUAAUUUAUUGGUAUGAAUAGUAGUCAAAGAAGUAUGUUAAAGUUAGUAAUCUUUAAAAUAAUAUGUUAAAAUCAUUCGUACAAAUUAGUCAGAGAAGUAGCAUAAACACCGCGAUGCAAUUAAUACUUUCAAUCUCAAGGUCUCUAUUAUGGAAAUUUGCAUCGGUCAAUAUACACUUGGCAUAAUAUAAUCUCCCAACUCAUUUCUUUACAAAUGCACCUUUAAUCACCACCAAAAGGUGUGGACAUGAUCUUUACCCUAGAAAACUAUUCACCGACAGGCAAAUUGACGUCAGAAAUACUGAGGAAUUCUAGUUUCCUUCGGGUUCAUGCCAUGUUGUAUCCUUCAACUGUAACUCGAUUUCUAAGCUGUAAUUUGUGACAUAAUAGUCCUUAAACUAUGAAACCCUUCUUACUUAAUUACAAUGGUUAAUACAAUGCCCGUGACUAGACAAGUAUGAAGCAACCAUAACAGAAAAAAAAUCCAAAAUUAGAGAAAAGAAAGAAGUUUCGCGACCACCACCAGUUUACAAGUCACCUCCACCACCUCCUCCAGUUUACAAGUCACCUCCACCACCUUACCAUUAUUCCUCACCACCACCUCCAGUGCAUUCACCCCCACCACCACCAGUUUACAAGUCUCCGCCACCACCUUACCAUUAUUCCUCACCACCACCUCCUGUGCAUGCACCUCCACCACCAAUUUACAAGUCACCUCCUCCAGUUUACAAGUCUCCACCACCACCUUACGAUUAUUCCUCACCACCACCUCCAGUGCAUUCACCCCCACCACCACCAAUUUAUAAGUCUCCCCCACCGCCUCCCCCAGUAUAUAAGUCACCACCACCACCUCCUCCAGUAUACAAAUCACCUCCACCACCUCCUCCAGUUGACAAAUCUCCACCACCACCAAUUUAUAAAUACAAGUCUCCUCCACUACCUCCUCCAGUGUACAAGUCAUCACCACCACCUGCUUACAAGUCUCCACCUCCUCCAGUUUACAGUUCCCCACCACCACCAAUCUACAAGUCUCCACCUCCACCCUACCAUUACUACUACAAUUCUCCUCCUCCUCCUCGUCACUACUAAGCAAUUGUAUCCAAGUUUUUGAGGUAAUAACGCUUAACCAAUAAAUUAACUUUCGCAUGAUAAACCUUAUCUCUAUCAAGACAAACUGCCAUGUGUAUCAUGCCAAAUACGUACACCUAGAUCCAUGAAAAUGAAUGGUGAGGAGGGCCAUUUAGGCUCGGAGCGCCCUAGGCCUAGUUCCCCACCAUUUCCUGAAGUGCCGCCUCGGGUAUUAUCCUGGAAGGCGAUCGCGGCCCAUUUACCACCUCGGCUACAAUGUCAGGUCGUAACACCGAGGUGGACAUUGAAUGACAACUACGAAAAGGGGAGAUGUGAUCUCUGACACCUGAGCAAAGGCUGCUCUGACCCGCCGCCUGAAUCUGACAGAAUGUCCCAUCACGUCUCUUCAUGGAGACCGGUCAAGUCCACCUGAUCCACUGACUAUCUCAGAUCUUUUGGGACCCGUGCAAACAUCUCCUCUCUCCUAUCAGUCCCCUAUAAAUACACGAUACUUCUACUGAAAAAGGAGAUGACCAAUUUCUGGUAAAACACACUCCACUCAUUAUUUACUUCUCUAUAUCCGAACUGACUUAAGCUUCGGAGUUAUACCGGGGGAUCCAGCCCCUUUCUUAUCCAAGCAGGUGACUUCGUCCAAGAGAGUUGCCCAAGGUAAAGAUAUUCUUCCAAUUGAGGUGACUCACUCCUGCGGGUCGAAAAUCACCUCUUCAAUUGGCGCCGUCUGUGGGAACCGCAAAGAUAUUAGAAGAUGAAGCCUGCGCGUUCUAGAAGCAGAAAAGCUCUCACUAUCGAGGCUGGGCAAAGCAAUGCAGCUCAACAAGAAAAUAUUUCUGAAGGGCAGGAGUCCCCAAGGACUCAGCCCGCAAACGAAAAAGCCAUAACCCGUAUGGCCGAGUUUGUGACCGAGAACCCCAACAUCUUUGAAGAGUUGGGAAGAUACCUGAAGAGGCAAGGCAAACAAAAGGCCGAGUCCUCUAAAAGGAUGUCAGAUGGGUCUCUUGAGGACUCAUCUGAGGAGGAGUCGGAUGGAAGGCACUUAAGCCGAAGUGCCUCAAAGCGAGCAUUUUCUAAGGCCACUUCUAAGGUAGCCUCCCUGACCAAGGCGUUUUCCCGAGGGCUCUUGGGCCGACGACCCGAGGAAGAACCUCGGCCCUUGGGAAUACCCGGGGUGGACUGCAUGAGGGCUCCACCGUUCACGGAUGAUAUAAACGAGGAAAGGCUUCCUCCCAAUUUUAAGCUCCCCGCAGUACAAUCUUACGAUGGCCGAGGUGAUCCCGAGAAUCACAUCCAUACCUUCAUCUCGGCCUUCCAAAUAUACUGCAUCCCAGACCCUGUCAUAUGUCGGGCCUUUCCAGUAUUCCUCAGAGGAACUGCUCGAAAAUGGUUCUGAGCUCUAGAACCUAGGAGCAUUUCGACCCUGGGUGAAUUAGUGGAGAAGUUUCUCCACCGAUUUGUCUCCUCCCGACCUACGACUAGGACCUCGGCUUACCUGCUCACCGUGCAGCAGAACCCGGGAGAGUCACUCCGGUCGUACGUCCGGAGGUUCCAUGAGGAAAGCGUUCAGAUACCUGACCCCAAUGAGCAGGUAACCCUCGCUGCCUUUACCCAUGGACUCGUUGCCGGGGAGUUCAAUACGGGGAUCCAUAAAAAAUACCCCCGCACACUGCAUGAAUUGUGGUUGAAGGUUGAAAAGGGCAUACAGGCCGAAGACCUCCAUCGCAUGAAGAAAGAGGUCCAAGCCACCCGUCCAAGGGCUGAGCCCAGAAAGGGAAAAGACGCUGGCCGAACUGAAGUAGGGUCGGGAAGUGGCUUCCGAAGUCCUGGCCGAGACCGCCGCAGCGUGUUCGACAGGAUAUCCAAGGGGAAGUCACCUAUUCCCGAGUCCGAGUUGACUCCUUUAAAUACUACCCGAUCUCACGUGUUGUCCGUGAUGGAACAAAACAACCUCGGCAAGGGCCCGCCGAGGAUGUUUGGAAGCAGAGACAAGAGGAACUCGAACCUCUACUGCUUGUAUCAUCGUGACAUUGGUCACGAAACUGAGGAUUGCAACGAUCUCAAGAAGGAGAUCGAGAACCUCAUUAGACGGGGACACUUGAAACAGUUCAUCCGCAGAGGUGGAGGUCACCAACGUGACGAAAACCGGCAUGACAAAUGAGGUGACCAACGCCGAGAUGAGCGGCGGAGCUCCAGAAGCAGUUGCCGACCUCCUGAGGAUCCCAGGGAGACGAAAAGGCCUCCCCCAGACGGAUCUUCGGGACAUGGGCCAACCAUUGCCCGGGUCAUUAACACCAUUGCCGGAGGUCCGACGGGAGGGGACAGUCAGAACUCCCGGAAGAGAACCUAUAAGCAGGCUAACCCGGAUCAGGCCGAGUCGAGUUCUCGCCUGUCCGAGGUGAUCACCUACGGGCUCAGUGAUCCCAUCCCAGCUGCAUCCAGCAGUCAUGAAACCUUGGUGAUUGAAGUCCUCACCAAUAACUACAUUGUGAAAAGGUCUACAUAGACCCGGGAAGUUCAGUUGACGUCAUGUACCUCCGUACCUUUGAGAGCCUUAAAAUGGCUAAGGGGUGCAUGACCCCGCUGAGAACCCCUCUUGUAGGGUUCGGGGGACACGUGGUGCACCCCGAAGGGAUGGUGACUCUGACAGUGACCAUAGGGCAUCACUCUCGCUGUAGAACCGUCCCUGUCAAUUUUGUGGUGGUUAAGGCUGACUCCCCAUACAACCUACUUUUAGGUCGGCCUACGCUCAAUGCCUUGCGGGCGGUCUACUCCACCUACCACCUGAGCUUCAAGUUUCCUACCCCAGCAGGGGUGGCCGAGGUCAGCAGCGACGUCUGUGCUGUCCGGGAGUGCUACCUCGCCACCCUACAAGCAGCCUCCCCGUCUACCUCCGGUGCGAGGUCCGAGAAGAGGUCAAAUAUCCUCUCAAUAGAUAGCAUCGAUCCUCAGUGAGCUGAGAAGGUCCCGAGGCUGGAGACUGGGGAUGAGGUGGAAGAGAUUCCCCUGGACCCCACGAAACCUGAUCAGACAGUUCGCGUUGGUACCCGAUUGCCCGGUCCUAUCCGAAGAGGUAUGAUGGACCUCCUCAGGGAAUACCGGGACGUCUUUGCUUGGGCCGCCGAAGAGGUCCAAGGAGUCCCGCACCAUCUCAUGAUGCAUGACUGAACGUCGACCCCCAAGUCCGUCCGGUCAAACAGAAGAGAAGGCACAUCGGCCCUGAGCGCAGCCAAGCUGUUGGUGAGGAAGUGGACAAGCUUUUACCCGCUAAAAUAAUCCGAAAAGUCCAAUACCCGAUCUGGUUGUCUAACUCGGUCAUGGUCAAGAAGGAUACGGGGGCUUGGAGAAUGUGCGUCGAUUUUACCGACCUCAACAAAGCCUGCUCCAAGGAUUGCUACCCCUUGCCCAAAGUCGAUACUUUGGUAGACUCAGCAAUGGGCUACGAGAUCCUCUGUUUCUGGGAUGCAUUCAAAGGCUAUCACCAAAUUGGGAUGAGUCAAGAAAACCAGGAGAAAACGGCCUUCUACACCGACCGCGGCACGUACUGUUAUACUACCAUGCCAUUCGGGUUGAAGAAUGCCGGAGCCACUUAUCAACGCUUGGUCAACCAAGCAUUCAAGUCUCAAAUCGGCCGGAAUGUUGAGGCCUAUGUAGAUGACAUCCUCCUCAAAAGCCAGACGAACUCCACCUUCCUGGCCGACUUGAAGGAGGUCCUUGACAUCCUGCGGAAGGUGAAAAUGAUGCUGAACCCCAAGAAAUGUGUUUUUGGGGUCACCUCGGGGAAAUUUCUAGGUUACCUCGUCUCAAGGCGAGGUAUCGAAGCAAAUCCGGAUAAGGUGCGAGCCAUCCAGGAGAUGUCUCCACCCCGGUGCGUCCGCGAUGUCCAAAGGCUGACAGGGCGAUUAGCCGCCCUGAAUCGGUUCUUAUCGCAGUCGGCAGCUAAAGCACUGCCCUUUUUCAAAGUGUUGAAGAAAGCUGACCAUUUCUCCUGGACGGAAGAGUGUCAACAGGCGUUUGAGCAGUUGAAGGAUUACCUUCACUACCUUCCAACGCUCACCUCACCUCGUCCGGGGGACAAAUUAAUCUUAUACCUUUCUGCUGCGGCCGAAGCGGUGAGUGCCGUGCUGAUAAGGAAGGAAGGGGUCCAAAUGCCCGUCUACUACGUUAGCCGAGUCCUCCGAGGUCCAGAGACCAGGUACACACAAGCAGAGAAACUUGUGCUAGCCCUGAUCCACGCCGCCCGCAGACUCAAGCCCUACUUCCUAGCUCACCACGUCUGCUUGAGGACUGAUCAACCACUUCGGCAGAUUUUGACACGACCAGAGGUUUCGGGACGUCUUACCAAAUGGGCCAUUGAGCUGGGGGAGUACGACCUAACUUAUGAGCCUCGCACAGCGAUCAAGGCCCAGGCUCUCGCAGACUUCGUAGCCGAGCUCACCUUUGACGAGGUGCAAGGAUCCGUCCCGGCUGCCACAUCGGCCACAGUUGAUGUGGCCACCACUGGGCUCCAGCGGUGGAUCCUACACGUGGACGGUUCGUCAACAGUGAGGGUAGUGGAGCAGGCUUGCUCCUCGAAGACCCCCAAGGAGAAAUAUGCUAAUAUGCCUUAAGAUUUGACUUCGCUGCUUCAAACAAUGAAGCUGAAUACGAAGCCGUCAUUGCUGGACUGCAGCUAGCUCGCAAGCUCGGGGCCGCACACAUCUUGGUUUAUAGUGAUUCCCAACUCGUCGUGUGCCAGAUAUUAGGUGAGUACGAAGCCAGGGACGAGGUGAUGCAUCGUUACCUCUCCAAGGUCCUCCAGUUGGCGACUCACUUCGAGUCUUUUGAAAUUCAAAGAAUACCGCUAUCGAAAAACAGAAGGGCUGACGCCCUCUCCCGGCUUGCCUCAACCUCUUUCUCUGACCUGAACAAGACGGUUCUCGUUGAAGUUCUAGCCGAACCAGGAUAUGUAGCCGAGGUAGUAUACCCCGUCUACCCUGGGGACACCUGGAUGGGUCCCCUGACUCGAUUUUUCAGCCAGGGUGAGCUCCCCGAAGACCGAGCUGAGUCACGGAAGCUCCAACGAAAAGCAGCACGGUACAUUCUCCGACAAGGCCUUUUAUACAAAAGGUCUUACCUCGGCCCUUAGUUGCGAUGUAUCACGCCCGAGGAAGGCCAGAGAAUCCUCCAAGACAUACAUGAGGGGCUCUGUGGUGCUCACGUCGGCUACAGAAUGCUGGUAAAAAAGGCUUUGUUACUUGGGUAUUUUUGGCCCACUAUGAGGAUAGAUGCCCAGGUCAUGGUCCUUUGCUGCCCCUCCUGCCAGCAUCACGCUCCUGAGCACCACCAGCCGACCAAUUUAAUGAUCCCUAUCACCUCGUCAUGGCCAUUUGAGCAAUGGGGAACGGACAUAAUUGGCCCCUUUCCCAGAGCUCCAGGCAAUUAUACCUACGUGGUGGUAGCAGUGGACUACUUCACCAAAUGGGUCGAAGCUGAACCCCUAAAAAAUAUCACUGGUGCGGCAGUCCAGAAAUUCUUCUGGAAGAAUGUGGUUUGCCGCUUCGGCCUACCCCGGGUGAUCAUCUCGGAUAAUGGCCGACAGUUCGCCGAUAAUCCUUUCAAGGCCUGGUGUGAGAACCUCGGGGUCAAACAGCAUUUCACUUCGGUGGGACACCCCCAAGCCAACGGACAAGCCGAAAACUUCAAUCGCACGCUCCUCCAUGGCCUCAAGACCAGGCUCCACCAGGCUGGAUCGUUUUGGAUGGAAGAGCUCCCCAGUGUGCUGUGGUCCUACCGAACUACGCCGAGAUCAGCAACCCAGGAAACCCCGUUUUCCUUAACCUACGGGUCAGAAGCUGUUGUUCCAGCCGAAUUCAUCACCCCGAGUCCACGAAUGGCCGCAUAUGCUGCCGAAGUCAAUGAAGAAGAACGGCGAGUUGACCUCGACCUCGUCGAAGAGAAGCGUGAUAUGGCCGCGGCCAAAGUUGCUGUUUACAAAAAUAUCGUAGCUGGCUACUACAACGCUCGGGUUAAACAUUUGCGGUUCAGUCCGGGAGACCUGGUGCUCAGGAAGAACUCAGUCAGCCGGGCUGAACCUCAGGGUAAACUAACCCCCAAGUGGGAGGGACCAUACCGUGUUGUUGAGUCCAGCCAAAAUGGAUAUUGUAAAUUGGCAUACCGAGAUGGGUCUCUGAGUGCCCCGAACUUGGCAUGCUGAAAAUCUUAAGUUGUACUACCCUUGAGGGUAUGUGCUUUUAAUCUUGAGUUAUUUCACACUUAUUUUCAUUUCAUUAUAAGUGAAAAAUAAGGGGACAAAGUAGCAGUAAAGAGGAAAACCGAAUUUAAUUAAAAAGAAAGCAAGAAUAUGAACUCAAUUCCAUUGAAUUACAUAAAAGUAGAAAGCCGAGGUCACCUUUAAUUAGGAAGAAAGCAAGAAUAUAAACUCAAUUCCAUUGAAUUACAUAAAAGUAGAAAGCCGAGGUCACCUUUGACCUCGGCCUACAAUGACAAAAAAAAAAACAAGUGCCUCUAGGCACUCCCUACCCUGACAUCCUGGCCCCCCGUGGUCGCGCCACCCGUUUCGGCACCCUGUCCACCCUCAGCUCCUCCACCGGCCUGGUCGUCUUCAGUACCAUCUAGUUCAAACUCCUGGAGCCAUUUGUUGAAUUCGGCUCGGACUUCGGUUAGGUCUUUCUCAGUCCGGAUGCCCUCAGCCAUGCUGUCGCAUAGCUCCUUGGCAUCCUCGUUAUAGUGCGAAGUGCUCUGAAGGGACUCCAGUUGUUCAGAGGGAAGAAAGGAUGCCGCGUCAUUAAUAGCCGACGUGUACCCGAACAUGAAGCUUGGCCGGGUGAGCUCGCCGAGGUCACGGAUGAAGGACUCUGACGUCCGGAAGGCUUCCACAGCAGUGACCCCGGCCUUGUCCAUGGCCUCCCUGUUUGACUGUUCUUCUUGGGCCCUCCUUUUUUUCUCCUCAUCAAGAGCAGUCACCAGGGAAUUGUUCGCGACCUCGGCCCUUUUGUUAGCCGCCUUGGCCUUGUCACGCUCCAACUCGGUUGCCUUCAGUUUUUCUUCCAACUCGGCAAUUCUCUUCUGGAGCUCGGCAGGAGGCUCAUAGUUUUCCAUGAACUUUCCAUACCGUUGAAUCAUCUCGACAAAAAAAGCCGUGGUAGAGGCCCAUGACACCGAGGCGCUCUGCAUCAACUCCCCUGCGGAGAGCUUCCUAGCAUAAGUGCUAUCUCGUGGCAGCACUGAAUGCACCAAGAGCUCCUGAGCGACCAAAGGGUUCUUGCAGCGAUCGUUGAAAUUAAUCUCCCACUCUGGACACCAGUGUGAUCCGGGGUGUCUCUUGUCCUCCUCAGCUGCCUUGAAAGGCACAUGAUGGAGUUUGAACAAAGAUGACCCCGUGACGGGGUUCUCCGGAAAUAUGGUCACACCCUGACCCCGGGGGGGAGUGGCAAUCGUGACCCAGCGAGAAGGGAUUCCCACCGGAAUUGCCGAGGCUCGGGAACCUCCCGGAGUGGCCGAGGUGUGCGAGCCCUCGCCCACGAUCACCACGGCAGGCUCGCGGUCGCCCGACGCCGCGGUGGUUUUCUUAGCCGGCCUGGAAGAGGACCCUGCAGUGUCCUUGCGCUUUUUGGGAGCUCUUUUGACCACCUCGACAUCUCCCGAGGUUAUCAGGUCGAAAAUCUUCGUCACUGCAAAGUAGGAGACGAAGUCAGUUAGAAUUCAAGAGGGAUAAACUAAAAGGGAAGAAAUGGAAAAAUACAAAGUCUGUGAAGCCUAGUCGAGAGUAAGACAGGCUGGUCAGAGCUCGUCAAGGCUCAACUGAUCCCGCCUUCCACGAGCACCACUUCGGGAAAAUCCCAGCAGUUUAUCCUGAGGCCCGACCCCGUUAACUUCUGGAAGUUACGCUCUUCUAACUUCCCUGGAGAUAUCUCCUUGAUCGAGGUGGGAGGCCUCCACCAGAAUCCGCGAGGGAAGUCAUCGGCCGAGACGAAGAAGAAGUUUUGCUUCCACUCCUUUAUUGAGUUCGGAGCAUCAACCACCAACUUCGGAACUUUGUUUCCGAAGUAGAACCAUCCUUUUUCACUUCUGCUGUUCUUGAGUGAGUAACAGCGGCGAAAGAGGUUGACCUAAGGUUGUAUCUCCUGAUGUCGGCAAAGUAGCUGGAAGCCAACGAGAAUGCGAAUAGCGUUAGGGGUGAGUUGAGUGAUUCUCACCCCCCAGUACCUCAGGCAGUCCCGAAGAAACCUCGUCGUGGGCACUCUGAGUCCGGCCUCCAGCUGUUCCUGAUAGAUAGUCACCUUGCCCUUUGGUGGCAGUGCGGCUGACUGAUGCGGUUGGGGUAUGUAAAUACUAUAAUCCCUUCUCCAGGGAUACCUGCGGACCACCUCGGCUAUUGAGGCUUGUCCCAUACCACUACUGAAGAACGGCAUCUGGCCGUAGUCGAGAGUUGCCACGUUUGGAGGAGUGGAAGGUUCUUGUACUCCCUCGUCUCUAGGGAUCUCAAUCCCGAGGUCAUCGUUGUAUAGGACCUCGGGCUGGACCUCGAUCUCCUCGGGCUGCACCUCAACCGCCUCAGCUCGGCGUGAUGCCUCGGCACCUCCACCCUCAGCUUGGUGAGAUGCCUCAGCACCUCCGCCCUCGGACGCGGUCCUUUCCUGGGAGGGGUCAGGCCUCUCUGCCUCAGUGAGGUCAGGUCUCACUGUCUCUUUGUGCGUACGAGCUGUUCUAGCCAUUGUAUCAGAAGGGGAAGAAGUGAACUUACUUAGAAUCUGCGACUGGAAGAAGAUGCCGAAGUAGACGUGGUUUAGAAAGGUUGCCGAAGUGAAAAGAGAAAGAAACAGAGUUCUGGGGUGAUUCUUGAUUUUUGGUGAAGAGUAAAACGGUGAAAAAAGACCACUAUUUAUAGGCCACCAGGGUGAAACCCAAGAGACGGCACCCUCUCUCUUCAUUAAUGGGAGGACUGUUCGUCUGCCAACACAGCUGACAGCCGUCCCUUCAGUUAUCACUCAGUCCCAUCUAUGCGGUCAUGACGUGUCCGUGUUCCGUGUUUUAUACGCUUCUCAGCUUCGGGAAGUAACGACCACGGCGGAUGCCCAUCUCGCCCUUCUCAAAGCUUGGGGGGCUUAGUGAGGAGGGCCAUUUAGGCUCGGAGCGCCCGAGGCCUAGUUCCCCAUCAUUUCCUGAAGUGCCGCCUCGGGUAUUAUCCUGGAAGGCGAUCGCGGCCCAUUUACCACCUCGGCUACAAUGUCAAGUCGUAACACCGAGGUGGACAUUGAAUGACAACUACGAAAAGGGGAGAUGUGAUCUCUGACACCUGAGCAAAGGCUGCUCUGACCCGCCGCCUGAAUCUGACAGAAUGUCCCAUCACGUCUCUUCAUGGAGACCGGUCAAGUCCACCUGAUCCACUGACUAUCUCAGAUCUUUUGGGACCCGUGCAAACAUCUCCUCUCUCCUAUCGGUCCCCUAUAAAUACACAAUAUUUCUACUGAAAAAGGGGAUGACCAAUUUCUGGUAAAACACACUCCACUCAUUACUUACUUCUCUAUAUCCGAACUGACUUAAGUUUCGGAGUUAUACCGGGGGAUCCAGCCCCUUUUCUUAUUCAAGCAGGUGACUUCGUCCAAGAGAGUUGCCCAAGGUAAAGAUAUUCUUCGAAUUGAGGUGACUCACUCCUGCGGGUCGAAAAUCACCUCUUCAAAUGGUAGAAAGUUUUCUUAAGAACCAAGAACAGCAUUAGUAUUCCCUCUGCUUCCAAAAACUUGUGUAUUAAAUAGAUUAAUGAAUUGUUUAACAUGCUCAUCUACUUGAAAAUGCACAAUACCCAUAACCCACUGAAAUUUUUGCAGGAAAAGGGAAAGAGAAUCUGUGUUUGAGAGCUUCAUGAAGAUGUUGAAGAAUAAGAAUAAAAGCCCAAUGCGAGGAUGUUUUCAAGUUUUUCUAUGUCCACUUUAAUUUGUAAAUUGAAUUUUACAACUCAAUUAAUUCCUUGUUUGUGAGGUACGUAUUGUUUUACGUACCAUGCCGUACAUGUUUGUAAGGAUUUCUAUCCUAUUGGCAAAAGUCGGUUCCAUACAAUUAAUCAAUUCAUUUCACUUCUAUUGGCUCUACUAUUUAUGCAUGUUACGACACUCUUUCCCUUAUAUUUUGCCUUUAAUAUUAUGAGUCAAUAGUAAUAAUGGGCCUUUUUCUUAAAAUUAUACUAUUAUACAUAGGUAGUUUGGUCUAACGCUAAAUUCAUGUUUGUCUUUCUUUUAUUCCCUUUACAUCUCAAAGUAUACUAUAGUUUGUAAUCAUUGUGGUGAUGAUAUUACCAGCUGGUACUUAUAGUUUAAGGCAGAGACAUGAUAUUAACAACUAUCUCAUUGAAACAUAAGUCAAAAUCAUGACAAGUGUGAGUCUUGGUUAAUGCACAAUUUGUUAGUGGAAUUUAUAUUUAUAAAACUCAAAAAAAAUUUUUGACAAUGCUAUUACUAAUUAAUUAAGGACUUCAUUGCUAUAAUUUAUCGCUUACUAGUUUAAACUAUAAAUGAUCUCAAUACUUUUCUCCAUGAUGUCGAUUUCUUUAGACUACGAAAGGGAAAAAUUAGUGACAUAUCCCUUACUGAUUACAACAUCAGCAAAAAUUAGUUAUAAACUUUUCCGGUGGUUUUAAAUCCCUCGGGCACUAAGGUUUUUUGCACAUCGAGUGAAUUAAGGAACAUAGGCAAUUCGUUCUGCAUACCAAGUCCUUGUUUAAGAUGCACGUACUAAAAUGCAUCCACUUCAUUAAUUUGGAAAAUUGCCAUAGUUUUUUUUAAGCAUUUUGAUUUUUUACAUGAUUCAAAAUUUUCUUAUUGGAUACAAUCACUUUGUGUCAAGAACACAUUUUCAAUCAUCUUUUUUAUCUUCUCAAUAAGAAAAUAAAAAUUUAUUCAUGCUUUUCUAACAUAUCCAAUCAUUGAUCUGAAAAAUAAAGAAUUAAAAAAAAAAGACAUUUUCAAUCAUUGCUUACAGGGCAACUUCCCCAUGUGAACCUCUUCAAACAAAGCCAAUAAUAUGAAGGAACAUCUAAAUACACUUUUGCCCUAAAGGCUGGUUGCCUUGGGGUCAAAAUUUAACCUUCGGGAGUAUAAUUACCCGCCAAAUUUAUUAUUUUUUAUGGGUAUAUAGUUCCAAUUUUGCCUCCUGUUAAGCUUAUAAAUAUAUUACGACCCAGAAAAUAAAGGAAUCUUGAAUAGUAACAUGUCCAUUGACUUGAGUUGUCAUCAAUUUGGCUACUUCGAUUCCAUGAGGCCAAUCCAAUUCACACUAGCUAGAGAAAAUGGUGAUAAAGGCACUUAGAAAUUUAUAUGUAAUAUUGAUUGGUAGUAACUGAUAAGUAUAUAUUUUACGUGUUUUAAAUAUGUUUUAUUAGUUAGUUUUGGUGUGUUUUAACUACUUUUAUAACUAAUUAACUAGGAAUCUAGUGAAAAUAUGCAUUUUGUGGUUUGAAGUGUGAAAAUUGUAUUUCUAUGGAUUUUAAUGGUGAAAACUUCAUGUUUUUGUAGGUUUAAUGAUUCAAUCAUCAAAUGACAUGAUUUGAGAAGAUAAUUAGAUGAUUGAUGAUGUUUUGAAGUGAUAAAAAGAGAAUACAAAGUGCAAGAGAGGAAAUGCAAUCAAGAAUAAAAGAAGAAAAUUUUUGUAGCUUUGACAUAUUGUGGUAUUUUGGCAAUAUAUUGAGCUACAAUGAUUGGAUUAAGGUGAUUCUUAAACCAUUUGAAGCUAAGAUAUAGAUCUACAUUUGGUAUGAAGGCAUCGAAACCCAUGUCAGUCAUUUUCCUUGUCAAAAUGUUGAAAUACAGAAGUGCAACUCUGUUCUCGAAAGCUAAAACAGAGCUCUGGCUAGUCGAGGGUAUUUUCAUCAUUUCUUAGUCCACAGAGCUCCAAAUGAGAUGAUUCUUAAGGCAUUAGAACCCUAACUCAAAGAGCUACAACUUUCAUAUUUUGUACAAGAGUUAGUUCGGCCUCCAUCAUUCAGAAAAUAGUAGUUGAAGUGGUGCCAAAUGCAUAGAAGUGAAAACGCGAGCUAUCAAUACUCGACCUGAAGUCGCGUAUUCCUGAGGUCAUGCAUUCUCUUCUAUUUUCUGCAACUUGCCCUGCUUUCACAUAAUUUUUUCAUCUCAAUUCCAACUAUCAAUUUCGGCUAUAUCUGAUCAAGAAAAGUGUGGAAAGUUUGAAAGACAACUCAUAGGAGUUUCAAGAGUCAAAAAUUACAAUUAGAAACAACUCAUUUGGCUCUUGAAUCCUCUAUAAAUAGAGGCCUUUGAAGAACAUUUUCACAACUUUGGAAGGUUAGAGAAACUCCACAAAAACAUAGUCUUCACUAGAAUUUCCUUAGUUCAUUAGUUAGGGUAGUAUAGUAUAGUUAGUGUAGCUUUUCCUUCUUGUAUUUAUAGUUAGGUUUGAAUGAAGAUUCAGGAGCAAAGAUAGAGAGGUUGAUCUCAUGUGACAAGGGUGAUAUCUCUUCUACUACUUUCUCUUUUGUAUUUGAUUUCAUAUUUAACUAUACUACAAAUUUGGCUUUGUUUUUUUUUUUUAUCAUGUUUAGUUAAAGUUUAUGCCUAGAGUAUGGAUGACCUUUCUAUAUCUUGUUUGUGAUAUUUAACUGGUUAUUUGAUGAUGUUAUUUUUGAGCAAGUUAUUUAUCACUUUUGCUUUUCUAAUCGUGAUUAACUGGCCAUUAGUUGUGAUUAUCUAAAAGUGUUAAGUUUGUAAUGAGAAUUGGAGUUUAACACUAGUUCAAGGAAGUGAUAAAUUUAGGGAGUUCACUCAUGAGAGUAGAGGAACACCUUUGUGACCUAAGUGACUUGUUUCAUAUAAUUUCAUAGAAAAAAUGAACUUGUAAUUAAUUUCAUAACCACGAGAGUAAGUAUGGUUUAGCUAUAUGUAUAGUUGAUUCACUACGAGAGUAGGUUUCACAUACAUUAGAAAAUUACAUCAUAACUAGUCAAGAUAAUAUCAUUCAUUUAAUCAGUAAUCUCAUUUGCAUGAGUAGUAAGGCAUUCCAUAUCUCUAGGAGGUUUUUAGUAUUAUUUUCAUUACUUUUAUGUUUAUGGUAGUCUAGAUAAUAAUGGAGUUCAAAAACUACUAGUAAUUGAAAAUUUUCCCUGUGGGAUCGACCUUUAAUACCCUAUACUCGCUCUCGACUCGUAUACUUGCGAAAAAUCACGUGUGCGGUAUUUAGAAUUUAUAAAUGUAAAACUUGACUGUAGAUGAACUAAUUGAUAUAUGUAUACCCCGCACUCGUCAGUAACCAGCUUGUAUUGAUCCCAUUAUUGUGGAUAAUUGUGCUCUUAUGAAAAAAAAUUAUAAAAAAAUUAGCAAAAUUUAUGAUAACAAAUUAAAUUUAUUCAUACAAAUCAGUGAAAGAAGUAGAAUUUUAAAGACCAUGAUGAAAUUAAUACUUUCAAGGGCUCUAUUAGGAAGACUUCACUUGUUGGUGAAACUACACUAGCACAGUUAUAUGCACAUUUACUGUUUUGGUAUCUAAUUUCCUUGCCUUAAGUUGGGUGCAGAUGUUUAUAUUACAAAUAGAUGGUAUCAUAAAAUUGUUGUAUUCACGUUUGUUCUUUUUUUUUCUUCCUUAAGUUUUUUUCUUUAUUCUCGUGACUUCAAAAAUACGAACUCAAGAAAUUGGCUGCUUAAUCAAUAUGUCAUACAGGCUUCGCUAGUGAGGUAUAACUUCACAACUAGAGUCAAUAGAAAUUAUCAAAUGAUUUUUUAACAUCCAAAUUAAGCAAUAAAUUUUGUUUUCAUUUUAUGACAUAUAAUAGUACUACUUCAUGAGAGAUUUUAUAGUUUCUUUUAGGUAUCAUACCUACAAGUGAUAUUUGUCAUUGGAUAGUGACAGAAGUGUUAAUGAUUGUAAGAUUAAAUAUUGUUAAAUAUUGAAAUUUAAACUAUUUAUCUUUAUUGAAAGAUACAAGUUAAAGAAUCGUUCAAGGGGGCAAUUUUCCAUCUUGUCUUUUUGAAAAAACGCUAUCACAUUGUAUAGGCAUGAUAGGUUCAAAUUUGUCAUUAAAUUUAUGAUUGAUUUCCCUUUUAUUCAAGCCAAAUAUUGUUUUAAUUAUCAAAUUCUACUUAUAUUUGGUUAAUUGUACUAAUUGUAGGGCGGUAGAGCAAAAGUUGCUAAAAAUAGGUGAUUUUCUGCAAAUUGGUUGUCAAGGCUGAAGGAUUUGGGAUUCGCAUGUUCAAGGCCUGUUUCCAAGUUUGAUUCAAACUCUGGACAGUUUUAGAGGAAGAUUUGGAAGAUUUGAAAUUUCAUUAUUAGUUUUAUGGUUGAAUUAGGAAUCUUGGAAUAAUUUCUUUUGUGAUUUAUUUUUCUAUUUAGGAGACUAGUUGUUAUUUAGUAGUAGACUUCAAUUAGAAAACAAAGAGAAAAAGAAGGCCGGAAUCCCGCUUGAUUAAUACCUUGGCCAGGGAACAAUCUCGGUGGGGAGGACGGCCACUUAGCCUCUCAAUUCAUCUUGCUUUUCGUUAGUUUGAGAGGAAAACCAAUUGCAACUAGAUUCAAUGGAGUCUGGCAGAAUUUCUUCUAGGAUGCGUAGCUAAAUCCUCAAUUUUUAGUCGAAGGUCAAUUUGAAAAUUCGGUUCCAAAUAUCUGUGAAAUCGAAUUAUUUUACUUAUUUCUUUUAUUUAUUGGUAUUCGCACGUUUUCUGAUUUAACUUUUUAUGAUUGUUUUGUUAUUUGAAUGUCAAGGGUCCGAUAUUCGAAUUAACUUAAUAAUCUACUGCCAAAUUAACCGGUUAAAUCCGUAAUUGUUUGAUUGAUUAAUAUCAGUGGCGACUAGCGUGAUUGGUCCCAUGUUAGGAAAACGUCUGAUCUAAUUUAAACAAACCGUCGUAGCGUGUUUGUUGAUUAGGGUUGGACUUUUCUAAUUCUUAAUUCAAUUGAGAAAUUAAAUCUCCCGGUCGUACCUAAGAUUAUUUUUUUGUUAGCGAAAUAGUUAAUGGUCGUACCUUGACUAUCGAAAAAGUAAGGAAGAGUUGAUUGUUUAUCGCGUGUACGACAACUAUAAUCAAUCUAUUAAUGAGUAAUUGAAUUAUCUUUGCAUCAGUAAUCAGUUGAAUGGACCGUGUCUGAAAAGUUGUACCUUUGGCUAGAGUCUUAUCUGUUGUUGAUUCAUUCAUAUCUAUCUUCAUGCGUUGUUUUAAUUUAGUUAAUUAGUUAUUUUUAUAAAAACCCCUCAUCUCUGGACUCUAAAAGAAAUAAAUUAUUUCUAGUUCCUGUGGAUUCGAUCCUACUCACCGCUAUAUACAAAAUUUGUAUUUUUUUGAAUAAAUAAUUAUUAUUACACAGGCUUGACACCUGUCAAGGCAAAAUUUCCUUAACUUCAUCAUCUGUAGACGUAAACUUUCUACGGGUGAUAUAAUAUAAGGAAAUUUUGCCUAUACGAUGUGAUAGCAUUUUUUCAAAAAAGACAAGAUGGAAAAUUGCUCCCUUGAACGGAAAAAAUCAUGAUCUUUCCUCAAACUAGUCUACUAGUCAAUUCUUUACAAAAGAAUACUCGCUCCUAAACAUAGCCUGUUCAUCUACACUGUCCCGCAGAAUUCUAGAAAGUUAGGCAAAACUAGACAAGUUGACAGGUAUAAUCAUACCCAAGAUCAGGAACAAGCAGUUGCACAUUUCAAAAUUCGCUGCUGCAACAGCUAAUUUGAUGACUUACAACACUACACGGUCAAACUUUGAAUGGCAAUGGAUCUUUUGUUGUACGUCAUGAUGUAAUUUUCAUGUUACAUACAUUAAUAGGUUGAUAUCUAUAUUCUUUAAAUUAUCAUGAUAAUACCCUUAAUUAGAUUUAACUGAUAAAAAGAACACGUGUUAAUAUACAAAAGUGUGUAACGUGAAUGUUACAUUACUGUAUUGCAGAAGACCUAUAGUCUCUUCAUAUCUCUUCCUGCACGUAUCAAUUCGUUUCCUCUAGAUAAUAAUCUCCCAACUCGUUUCUUUACAAAUGCACCUUUUAUGUUUUAUUACCUCCAAAAGCCUUUACAGGGUCUUUACCCUAAAAAUCAAUUCACCGACUCGCAUUUGAUGUCAGAAAUUCUUAAGACGAAUUCUACUUUACUCAAAGAUUGACUGUUAAUAAUGAGACAGCGACCAUUUUGUAUUAUUAGACCGUCCUUCUUGAUAGGUAAAAGAAAUAGAGAGGAAAGUGGGUCCGUAUAUGGUCUUUUAUUCAUAGAUAAUACAACAUUACGCCAUCGAGCAUUCACACAAUAUUUCAAAGUCAUAGCAUGCCUAAGGCCCUGUUUGAUAGCUCAAUUUCGUAAUUAAAUUUAAUAGAUUCAAAUUUUAACACAUUUAAAUCAUUUGAUAACAAAAAAUUGAAUAUUUAAAUUAAUUAAGUAACACUGAACUUUCUAAACAAAACUUGCUUUCAAAAUUAAGUGAUAAGUUAUUCACUUAUCUUUGAAUGUGAUAUGCACUCAAAUAUAUUAAAUUUAAUAAUUUAAUGGAUUCAGAUUUCAGAUUUCAGUUUUAUUACACACCCUAAGUUGCAAAAUAAUACCAAAACUUGUUAUUAUAUAGCUUGAGAUUCAAAAAUUUAGAGCAUAAUUCUCAACCUAACACAAUCGAAUAAUGAAUAUUCACGAUUGUUUCAAAGUACAAUUUGAGGACAACCCAUUCCAACGCGUACACGAUUUUUAACUUUUCUAAAGUUGUUGAGAGCUGUUAAAAGAGAUUUACCAUGUUUACAUCUUCCAAGUCUUGGAAGUGAAAAAUGAAGCCACUGAGUGCUAUAAAAAGGGGGCUAGAGGCUGCCUAGAAGCAUAUCAGCCUAAAACAAGAAUUUGUAGUAACAAUGGGGAGCAAAGCAAAAGCAACGGGGUCUAGGCUGACUCCUCUUCUUACCACUGUUUUAGUGGUAUUUGUCGCCCUUGGCUUGCCCUUGGAAACUGCAGCUGAUUAUUACAAGUAUUCAUCUCCUCCUCCUCCUCCUUACCACUAUUCUUCACCACCACCUCCAGUGUAUUCACCUCCACCAACCCCUGCUUAUAAGUUACCCCCACCAUCUCCUCCAGUUUACAAGUCCUCACCACCACCUUACCACUACUCACCACCUCCGGUGUAUUUACCUCCACCAUCUCCAGUUUACAAGUCACCACCACUACCCCCUCCGGUAUACAACUCCCCGCCUCCACCAGUGUACAAAUACAAGUCCCCACCACCACCUCCUCCAGUUUACAAAUCUCCAUCGCCACCAGUUUACAAAUACAAGUCACUCCCACCACCUCCUCCGGUAUACAAGUCUCCUCCGCCACCUGUUUACGAGUACAAGUCUCCUCCACCACCUCCUCCAGUGUACAAGUCCCCACCACCUCCAGUUUACAAGUACAACUCACCUCCACCUCCUCCCCCAGUUUACCUGUCUCCACCUCCACCCUAUCAUCACUACUACGGUUCUCCUUCUCCUCACCACUACUAAGCAAGUGCAUAAGUUUUGAGGUAAUAAUACCUAUCCAAAACUUUAUCAACACAAACUGCCAUGUAUAUUAUCAUGCUAAGGACGUACACUUGAUCCAUGAAAAUGACUAGUAGAAGAUUUUUUUUAAGAACCAAAGAAAUACAUUAUUUUUUCGGUCUGUUUUCAAGAAUUUGAGCAGUAUACAGAUUAAAGAGUGUUUUUUUUUUUGUAAACUUGCUUGUCAACUUAAAAAUGCACAUAGCUGAAAGCCAACUGAAUAUUUGCAGGCAAAGGAGAAGGCAAUCGGUGUUUGAGACCUUCAAGAAGAUGUAGAAGAAUAAGAAUAAAAGCCCAAUGCGAGGAUGAUUCCAAGUUUCUACGUUACCAUUUCUACAUCUAAAUUGACUUUAGCUCCUGAGUUCCAUGUUUAUGGGGUUUGUACCGUUUUACGUACCAUGCAGUACAUGCUUGCAAGGUUUUCUGUCCUGUUGGCAAACUGCAGGUCCAUAUAAUAAAUGAAUACUAUUUACAUUACGACACUUUUCUCUUUUUCUCUUAUAUUUUGUCUUUAAUAUUGUUGAUCAUUUUUUUUUUAUCAAAAGCAUCAAAUGCUUAGGUAAUUUGGUCUAAUGCUAAUUGUUUUACUUUUAUUUUUCACCUACACCCCUUUUCAACUCAAAGGAUGCUAUAGUUUGUGAUAAUUGUUUAAGACCGAAGCAUGAUACUAAUAAAUAUCUCAUUGAAAGUCAAGGAAACUAACAUUAGGAAAAGUUUAAAUCUUGAUUUGAUGAAACUAUUUAUUCGUGGAAUUUAGAGAUACAAAACUCAAAUUGUGACGGUGUUGUUGCUAAAUUAUUAAGGACAUUAUCACCAUUAUUUUUCCCUGAUCACUAGUUUCAACUGCAAUGAUCUCAAUCUUUUUGUGACUAAUUCUUUCCUUAAUAAUUUAUAAAGACAAAACUCACAAAGAAUAUGUGACUAAUUCUUUCCUUUCGUCUUCUAAAGAAAAUGCCAACUGUUAGUUUAUCAAGGGGAAAAAGGAUCGACAUCAGUUAUUAUUGAAACUAGUAAGGAAUAAAUAAUGGUGAUAAUGUCCUUAAUAAUUUAACAACAGCACCAUCAGAAUUUGACUUUGAGCUUCGGUCUUAAACAAUGAUCACAAACUACAGCAUCCUUUGAGUUGAAAAAGGAAGUAGGUGAAAAGAAAAGUAAAAAAUACAAUUAGCAUUCCCUCAAAUUGUAGAAAGUUAGGUAGCAUUAUAGACAAGUUGAUAGCGGCAAUUUUACAUUUCAAACUUCACCUAUUCAAUAACUAAUUCGAUGGCUUGCUACAUGGUCAAUCUUUGGACCCCUUCCUGCCUCCAGAUAUCCCUUUCCUCAAUCAGGGGCUUCUACAAUUACCAGUUUCAAUUGUAUGGUAUAGUGUAAAUAUCAACAAAUUAGAUGUAGAUGCUAACAUAAUAAAUGUGAAUGCUAAGACAGCAACAUACAAUCGAACCUGCAAUUGUAUGAACCCCAAUCUCGCUUCCUAGUCCACCAUCUUUCUCUAGGUAAUAAUCUCCCUUCUAAUUUAUUCACAAAAUGCACCUUUCAUCACCUCCAAUAGCGUCGACAUGAUCUUUACCCUAGAAGACUAUUCACCGACUCUCAAUUGACGUCAGAAAAUCUAAGAGUAAUUCUACUUUACCCUAAGAUUGAUAUCAACAAGACAAGGACAAUUUAGAAUUAUUACACGCCUCUUCUUAAUAGGAAAAAGAAAUAGAGAAGAAAGUCAGGCCAGGUCUAAUUUCUUUUCAAAGGCAAUACAACAUUACGAAAUCAAGCAUUCAUUCAUACAAAUAUUUCAUAGUCACCGGUUUGCUGAGUAGAAAAAUUUAGACAAAAACUUAAUAUUAUAUUGUUUAAGAGUUAACAAUUUAGAGCUUAAUCUCCUUGUACUUUGGAGUUAACAAUUUAGAGCUUAAUCUCCUUGUACUUUGGACUAAACUUGAACGUGAAAGGAAAUCCCAAAACCAUAUUGGGCAUGAAUUCACACUUAAUAUACCCAAUAAAAGAUGGCGACUGGUGAAAGGCAGUGGAGACUGGUGGAGAGAUUUGAGGAAUAGAAGCAGACGGAAAAGCAACAAAUUUUUGCCGAAAAACGGUCACUUUCAUGGUUAAUUUUGCUACUCUCCAAUUGUACUUGACCAAUUACAACAAUUUCAUGGAGUUUGAUACGUGAAAAGAAUUUUUUAUAAAUUUUAUUUUGAUCCAUAAUGUUAUCUUUACAUAUAUAAAACAUUUUACAAUUUUGAUUUUGGCGCAGCUAACUUUUGGUUAACAAAAAUGCUCAUGUUUAAAAAACCAGAAAUAAAACAAAACAAGAAACAAAAGAAAUAAGAGGGUAGCAUAGACAUUUUGGAUUUUUCCGUUAAUUUGGAUGAUUUCCACCCACGUUCUAAUUUAAUCCAAAACACAAAGGAAUUACGUAGAGGUUUUAAAUAAUGAGGGAGCUUCAUGAUCGAACCCCAAACCACAAGGCGAUUUACUAUAUUUUACUCUUAAAUUUUGGUUUCAUCUCAUAGCAUACAAGAGUUCUAUUUCACUAUCUGUAGACAAAGACUUUCUAUGGUUGAUGUACCAUAGGAAAAAAUCUGCCUAUACAACGUGAUAGCAUUUUUUCAAAAACACAAGAUGGAAAAUUGCCCCUUAAACGGGGAAAUUCAUGAUCUUUCGUCGAACAAAGAAUACUCACGCCUAUUCAAGAUGGAAAAUUGCCCCCUUAAACGUCUAUUUGUCAAUUCUUGAAAAAAGAAUACUCACGCCUAAAACACGGCCUCUUCAUCUGCAGAAUUCUAAAAAGUUAGGUAAACUCUAUAAACAAGUUGAUAGGUACAAUCGUACCCAAGAUCAAGUACAGAUAGUUGUACAUUAACUGCUGCAAUAACUAAUCUGAUGACUUAUAAACAUAUCAUGGUCAAUCGUUGAAUGGUAAUGAGUCUUUUGUUAUGCAUUAGUAUUAGUGUGUACACUCUAAUAGAUUGAUACUUAUACUCUUUAAAUUAUCAUAAUAAUACCCUUAAUUAACUUUAACUCUUAAAAAGAAUACAUGUUAAUACACGAGUGUGUGUAACCUGAAUUGUUACUUAUAAAUUAGUGUGUAAUAGAUAGGGAUGGCAAUGGGGGCGGGUGCCCGCGGGGGGCUCUCGGGGCGGGGGUUGGGGCGGGGGGGAAUUUUUUCCCCCCGUUUAGAAAUGGGGCAGGGGACGGGGGAGUAUACCCCCGCCCCAUCCCCCGCAAAAAAAAAAUUAUAUAUAAUAUGUAAUUUAAUUAGUUAUAAACUUAUGAUAAUGAUAUUAUUAGUUAGAUGUAUUAUAUAAUGUAUAUUAGUGUAUGUAAUAUAAUUAAUAUUAUCAAUUAUAUGAAUAAUUAGACAUGUCUACUAAUAGAAUUUAUGAAUUAGUUAUACUAAAUUUACUAAUACAUUUAUACUAAAUUUCUAAUUACACUUAAUAGAAUAACACUUUUUUCUAAAACAAAAAAGCACAAACACAAUAAUGAAUUAGUGAUUGUAUGAUAGGGUGUAAUUUUACUAUUUAUUUUAUUAUUAAUUUCCCCUAUCACCUGACCUGAUGUGGAUUAAUUGCUGGAUUCUGCUCACUUUUAGUACUUUGUAUUUAUUUCAGGGAGUAGAACGGAAAUUUGAUAACAGGUGCUAAUUUGGCAGAAAAAGAGUCCAGAUGAUAGAGCUUGCCCCAAGGGCAUUUUUGGAAAGGAGAACUUGUGCCCAUCUUGGUAAUUUGGGAGAAAAGGGAAACAGACAAAAUGGGUCUAACAUGGAUUGGAAGCGGCCGCACAGUAGCAGGGAAGAGGGCAGACGUAAAAGCAAUUGCAGGGGGGAAAAGGAGUUUUUUUAGUUUUUAGCUUAGCAUCUGAUUUUCCCUGGGAGACUUUUGUUAAAGAUUUCCUUUUGGCUGAUAUUACGCAUGGCAGAUGGCUUUUAACUUAUUCCUCCAUCUUUGACUUUUCUUCUUUAGCUUGUGGCAGUGGAUUGCUACUUACGAAUGUCAGCACUUAGCCAUUCGUGGCUUUUGAUCUUUUCUUCCUUAGAAAUUCUGAGUAACCUCUUUUCCUUUGUGCGCCAGACGAAGUGAAAACUAUAAACUUUUGUAGUUUUUCUAUUCAUUCAAUAUAUUGAGACGAGUUGGAUUCUACCAAAUUUCAACGGACAUGGCCGCUGGUUUCUCUUCAAUUUUAUAUGGGCUUUGUUCAUCCAACAUGAACUAAUUUCACCACUCUAGUCAAGGAGCAACGAAGGCUCUGAUUUGCCUAAAAAUUGUGAGAUCGUUUUAAUUUAAUCUUUUCCUUUUAUUUAUUGGUAUCCGCACAUUUCUUGAUUGCUAUGCUUAUGGUUAUUUAAUUAAUUGAUUGUCUUGGAUCCAGAUAAUUAAUUGAUCUGAUAGCCUAUUGUCAAUUAGGGCAUUUAAAUCCGUAAUUGUUUAAUUGUCCUGAAAUAGUGACAACUGGCACGAUUAGAUUCGUGCCAGGGGGGAUAUGCGGGCUAAUCUAAAAUAACCCUGGUAGUGUGUUAUUUGGUUAGAAUAGGGCUCCUCUAAUACUAAGGCAAUUGGGGAAUUAAAUUCUACGGGCGUACCUAGGAUUAUUUCUUAAUUAGAGCAGUGAUUAACGGGCGUACCUUGAUCACCGACACAGUAAGGAGGGGUUGACCGUCAUCGCUUGUUUGGCAGUUAUAACCUAUUUAUCAGUAAAUAAUUGGGAUUGCCUUGCAUCAAUGAUCAAUUAGGUGAACCAUUGUUGAAGUUACUUCUUGGUUAGAUCUUUAGUUAAUAUUACCUUGAUUUUGGUGAAUUGCCAUUUGAUUUUUAGUUGCCUACUUUAUUUUAUUUUUAAUUGUUUCCUUGCUUUAAUUGAGUUAGGCCUUUAAUUAUUGUUAUUCUAAGUUUAGUGAAUUGUGGUUUAAUUCCUAAUUAGUUAUUUAUUUUUACUUUCUUAUUUGAAUUUAUUUGCUUGUUAUCAUUCCUACGAAAUCACCCCCCUGUGUUACUUUGGAUUUCUUAAGAAACAAAUAUACCCAAUCCCUGUGGAUACGACCCUACUUGCUCUGUUCACGAAUUCAUAAUUAUUUGUGAAAAGAAAUAACCAUUCCACUCGGGUAUAUCGGAUCAAGCAAAUUCUUCGGGAACAGGGUGAAUCAAGUAACCCAAUGCACACCUAGAGUCCCUGCUCCAGUACUUGGAAUUGGGUUUUGGUCAUUUUAACUGGCAAUUAGGUUUAAUUUUAUUAUUGCACAGGCUGACGACCCUGUCAAUUUUUGGCGCCGUUGCCGGGGACUGGCGUUAUUAUUUGUUUCUUUUUAAAUUCAUUCUUUGUCCUAAUUUUCUGGUUUUCUUCUAGUGUAUGCCUCGAUCUUCUCGUACAGGUAAUUUGAUUUUUGACCCUGAGGUAGAGAAGACCGCAUGUAGAACGAGAAAGGAAACCAGACAGCUCAGAGAAGAGCACUCCAGUGCUACAUCUCAGAGACCCGAGUCAGAAGUUGAACUAACAGAUUCGUUUGGUAACACUUCGAGUGACUCUGACCAGGAGGAAGACACCAUGGCUAAUGCACGAACAUUAAGGGAGUUGGCUGCUCCUGAUUUAACUCAGCAGCCUUUAUGCAUUACUUUCCCCACUUUAAAUGAUAACAUUCCAUUUGAACUAAAAUCUGGUCUGAUUCAGCUUUUACCCUCUUUUCAUGGUUUACCAGGUGAAGAGCCGUAUAAGCAUCUGCAGGAGUUUGAUGUCGUGUGUAAUAGUAUGAAACCCUCGGGAAUCACAGAAGAGCAGAUAAAAAUGAGGGCAUUCCUCUUCUCCUUGAAAGAUUCUGCGAAGGACUGGCUGUACUACCUGUCACCAGGUAGCAUCACCACGUGGGACCAAUUGAAGAAAAAAUUUUUGGAUAAAUAUUUUCCUGCGUCCAGGGCUGCAAGUCUAAGGAAAGAAAUUUGUGGGAUCAAGCAGCAUCCAGGGAAGUCACUUUAUGAGUAUUGGGAACGGUAUAAGAACUUGUUGCGCAGGUGCCCCCAACACCAAAUAAGUGAGCAAUUGAUCAUACAGUAUUUUUAUGAGGGGCUCCUUUUUAGAGACAGGAGCAUCAUUGAUGCCAGGGGGGAGGGUUGGGAUGGGUGGUACGGGGGGAGGGAGUGUAAGCAAGAGGUCUCGGGUUCGAGUCCUCCCGCUUACACACAAAAAAAAAGAUGCUGCAAGUGGAGGGGCACUGGUAAACAAAACCCCUCAGGAAGCACGGGAGUUAAUAGAGGGGAUGGCAGAGAAUUCACAACAAUUCAGUACAAGAGAGGAUGUCCCAAUACGUAAGGUGAAUGAGGUAGAGACACCCUCUAUGCAGCAGCAGCUAACUGAGUUGACCGCGUUUGUUAGGCAACUGGCUGUGAGAAAUGCAUCACAAGCCAGGGUGUGCGGGAUUUGCACUGGUAUGGGUCAUUCUGCAGACAUGUGCCCAAUGAUUCAGGAAGAAACUGCAGAACAGGUGAACAUGGCUGACCACGCGCCCGCGCCAAGGAAGCAGUACGACCCUUACUCAAGCACCUACAACCCCGGGUGGAGAGAUCAUCCCAACCUCAGUUAUGGAGAAAAUAGGCAGCCCAACAUUACACCGAACAGGCAGUCUAACUUUGUGCCAAAUAGGCCACCAGGGUACCAGCAGCAAUAUCAACCCCGACCACCUCCGUCCCCAAGCUCUGGCCCAUCUUUGGAGGAGAUGAUGAAACAAAUGAUGACAACUAUGGCUCAAAAUCAGCAAAUGACGGAGGCAACCAUUAUGCAAAAUCAGCAAAGGACGGACUCCGAAAUGAAGGAUAUAAGGAAUCAGAUAAGUCAAAUGGUCACAACAAUCAACCGUUUGGAUUCCCAGAACCAAGGUAAAUUGCCAUUUCAGCCCGAAUUAAAUUCGAAGAACGUGAGCGCAAUGACCCUAAGGAGCGGGAAAGAAAUUCAGGGGUCUGAACCUGUGAUCCCUAAGGAUAAGGAUGAGGAAAAGAUCGAAAAUGAGCUUGAAAGGGAGGACAGCAAUGGUGCAGAUCUAAAGGUACUUCCUGACCCAAUAAUUACAGCUAAAACUAACCCGCCUCCUUUUCCUAGCAGGUUGGAAAAAUCGAAAAAAGAGGAUAAGGAGAAGGAGAUCUUGGAGGUUUUUCGCAAGGUUGAGAUAAAUAUCCCCCUCUUAGACGCAAUCAGACAAGUACCAAAAUAUGCCAAGUUCCUAAGGGACUUGUGUGUCAACCGAAGGCAGUUGAGGGAAGAUGAACGGGUUAUUGUUGGGGAGAAUGUGUCAGCAGUCCUGCAGAGAAAGCUCCCACCAAAGUGCGGGGACCCAGGUAUGUUUACUAUUCCCUGUAGGAUAGGUAAUACUGUGAUAGAAGGGCCAUGUUGGAUCUGGGAGCAUCAAUUAAUCUCAUACCUAAAUCUAUCUAUGCUUCUCUAAAAUUAGGUCCAUUAAAAGAAACUGGAAUAAUCAUUCAAUUAGUUGACCGAACUAAUGCAUAUCCUGAUGGGUUGGUUGAAGAUGUGUUGGUAAAAGUUAAUGAUUUGAUGUUUCCAGCUGAUUUUUAUGUACUUGAUAUGGAUGAUGAUCACUCCCCUGAUCCCUCACCUCUGUUAUUGGGUAGACCCUUUAUGAGCACAGCACAGACGAAAAUUGAUGUUAAUAAGGGUAUCUUGUUCAUGGAGUUUGAUGGGAAAAUUGUGCAUUUCAAUAUCUUUGAUACUAUGAAAUAUCCCUCAAACUCCAACUUUAGCACAGUUUUCUCUGUGAGUGCUAUUGACCCUGUAGUGCAGGAAGUGUUUGAAACUGAUGGCAGGGAUGAGUUGGAGGUGGCUUUGACCAAGCACCUCGAGUUGGAGACAACUCCUGAGGUGGAAUGGAGCGAGGACCUAAAAUGCACAAUAGGUGCAUUACACUCAUUGCAGUCCACCACGAAAAGGUAUGAAGUCUUACCUAUUUUUACUCCCGAACCUCACCAGAGGGUGUUGCCAUCUGUGGUGCAGGCACCUGUACUAGAAUUUAAACCUCUAUCAGAGCACCUGAAAUAUGCAUAUCUGGGUGAUAAUGAGACACUCCCGGUGAUUAUCUCAUCGACACUGUCAAAAAUCCAGGAGGAGAAACUGAUCCGGGUCCUUAGAGAGCAUAAAGAGGCGAUAGGUUGGACAAUCGCAGAUAUUAAGGGGAUCAGCUCGGCCAUCUGUAUGCACCGGAUUAGACUAGAAGAGGAUGCCAAACCUGUUAGGCAGGCUCAAAGGAGGCUCAACCCCCUAAUGAUGGAAGUUGUAAAGAAAGAAAUUUUAAAAUUGCUAGAUGUGGGGAUUAUUUUUGCAAUAUCAGAUAGCCCUUGGGUAAGCCCGAUCCAGGUAGUCCCAAAGAAGGCAGGGGUGACGGUGGAGGCAAACCAAACGGGUGAGCUCGUGCCAGUGCGCAAACCCACUGGAUGGAGGCAGUGUAUAGACUACCGUAGGCUAAACGCCGUCACCAAAAAGGACCAUUUCCCUCUCCCUUUCAUUGACCAAAUGGUUGAACGUUUAGCUUGUAGAGCUUAUUAUUGCUUUUUGGAUGGAUUUUCAGGAUACUUUCAGAUAGCAAUUGCUCCAGAGGAUCAAGAGAAGACAACCUUCACGUGCCCGUUCGGGACCUUUGCUUAUAGACGAAUGCCAUUUGCGUUGUGCAAUGCACCUGCAACAUUCCAGAGGUGUAUGGUAAGUAUUUUUUCUGAAUAUGUGGAGAAAAUUAUUGAAGUUUUCAUGGACGAUUUCAGUGUGUAUGGUGAUAGUUUUGAUACGUGUUUAGAUAAUCUGAAAUUGAUCCUGAUAAGGUGUAUAGAGACUAAUCUUGUGCUUAAUUGGGAAAAAUGUCAUUUUAUGGUUGAGCACGGGAUAGUCCUGGGUCAUAUUGUAUCGUCUAAGGGCAUAGAAGUUGACAAGGCUAAAAUAGAUAUUAUUUUUGCAUUACCUUACCUCGCGAGUGUGCGGAAGGUGCGUUCUUUUCUUGGACAUGCAGGUUUUUAUCGAAUGUUCAUCAAGGAUUUUUCAAAAAUUGGAGCCCCGUUAUUCCAACUCCUACAAAAGGAUGUGACCUUCGAAUUCGAUGAUAAGUGUGAGGAAGCCUUCAACAAGUUGAAAGAAUUGUUGACCUCACCCCCAAUUAUCCAGCCCCCUGAUUGGAGUCUACCAUUUGAGAUCAUGUGCGAUGCCAGUGAUCAUGCCGUAGGGGCUGUAUUGGGGCAAAGAGUAGGGAAGGCAGCUCACGUCAUCUACUAUGCAUCCCGAGCAUUGAAUGGAGCCCAAUUGAAUUACUCCACUACUGAAAAGAAGCUUCUUGCAGUUAUUUUUGCUUUAGAAAAAUUCAGGUCAUAUUUGCUAGGUGCUAAAGUAAUUGUAUUUUCUGACCAUGCAGCAUUAAGGUACCUAAUGACCAAGAAAGAUGCCAAACUGAGGCUCAUUAGGUGGAUAUUGCUACUGCAGGAAUUUGACCUGGAGAUACGGGAUAAAAGGGGCUCAGAGAAUUUAGUAGCUGACCAUCUGAGUCGUAUACCCGUUGGAGAGGAUAAUGAACCAUUGAGGGAUGCGUUCCCUGAAGAGCACUUAUUUUCUUUAAAUUCUCAGUUGCCUUUGUAUGCCGAUCUGGUCAAUUAUUUGGUAACUGGUAAUUUUCCUGCAGGUUGACCAAAAUCGAAGAGGGAUAAAUUGAAGAGCGACGCCAAGUAUUUUAUUUGGGACGACCCGUACCUAUGGAAGAGGUGUGCAGAUCAAGUGAUGCGGAGAUGUGUAAGUGAAAUGGAAUUUCAAUCGAUUUUAGCUUUUUGUCAUACUUUUGCCUGUGGAGGUCAUUUGGACCCAAGAGAACUGCUCAUAAGGUUUUAGAAAGUGGAUUUUAUUGGCCUUCAUUGUUUAAGGAUGCCUAUGUGUUUUGUAAGUCAUGUGAUCGCUGUCAAAGGGUAGGUAAUAUACCCCGUAGAGAUCAAAUGCCCCAAGUCCCGUUGAUUUUUAUUGAAAUUUUUGAUGUCUGGGGUAUAGAUUUCAUGGGGUCUUUUCCUACUUCAUUUGGUUUUUUAUAUAUUUUGCUGGCAGUUGAUUAUGUGUCUAAAUGGGUGGAGGCUAAGGCCACUCGAACUAAUGACUCGAAAGUAGUUGCAAAUUUUGUCAGGUCUAAUAUUUUUGUGCGAUUUGGAAUGCCUAGUGCUAUUGUCAGUGAUAGGGGAACGCACUUUUGCAACAAAAUCAUAGCUGCGUUGUUUCGCAAGUAUGGUGUACUCCAAUGGGUCUCAACGUCGUACCACCCUCAGACCAAUGGUCAAGCGGAGGUGUCGAAUCGAGAGAUCAAGUCUAUCUUGGAGAAAAUGGUGCGCCCCGAUAGGAAAGACUCGAGUCAAAGGCUGGAGGACGCACUUUGGGCCUAUCGGACGGCGUACAAGACUCCUAUAGGGAUGUCACCGUACAGGUUGGUAUUUGGGAAGCCGUGUCACCUUCCAGUGGAGUUUGAGCACAAAGCUUUUUGGGCGAUAAAGUAAUGCAACAUGAAUUUAGAGGAAGCCGGUGCCCAACGAAAGUUGGAUUUGCAAGAAUUAGAAGAGAUCCGGAACGAGGCUUACGAAAAUGCACUAAUUUAUAAGGAGAGAAGCCGGAUAUUUCAUGAUCAACAAAUUUCAAGAAAAUCCUUUGAAGUUGGUCAGAAGGUCCUACUAUACCAAUCCAGGCUCAAGCUAUUCCCAGGUAAACUACGUUCCCGUUGGAUUGGACCUUUUCUUGUUACUCAUGUUUUUCCAUAUGGUGCAGUUGAAAUCCGGAGCGCUAAAACAGACAACAAAUUUGUGGUGAAUGGACACCGUCUCAAGCAUUACUACGAAGGAUUUUCAGGUGAAAAGGUGGAGACAAUAAGUCUAGACGCGCCACCGUGUCCUAAUCAGUGACAUUUUACUAUGUCUAGCCAAAGACAUUAAAGACAGGCGCUCAUUGGGAGGCAACCCAAUUGUCCCUUUUAAUUAUUUGUUUGAUUUCGUGUGAUAGUUUAAAUAUGUUUUCCUUGAAUUCGACUGAUUUUGGGUUUCAGUUUUCGUUUUUGCUGAAUUGUAGGUGACCUUCAGUCUUGACGCGCCCGCGUGAUGACAUGCAGGAAGCUCACGAUCAGAAUCGUCUGAAAGCUCUCUUGCCCUUUUGACGCACCCGCGUGAUGACGUGCAGGAAGCUCACGAUCAGAAUCGUCUGAAAGCUCUCUUGCCCUCUUGACGUGCCCGCGUCACGUUCGCAGGAAAGGUACGGGUUUCAAAAAUUUAAAGAAAAAAUAAUAAUAAUAAUAAUUUAAAAUUUUGAAAUUAACUUCCGUAAAAAAAAAAAAGAAGAAAAAAAAUUUCACCGUGGCUUAAAUAGAGCCUAAAGAAGAGAAAAAAGAAACAAUUUCUUUCUUUUUUUUUUCUUUUUCUUCUUUCUUCCUUCUUUCUUUCUUUCUUCUUUCUCUUUUCCCUCUCUCUUCUCCCCUGUUUCUUCUCCCCUGUCCGUCGCCCGUGCGCCCCAUCGCUGCUCCACCUCCACACGCACGCCGACGCUGCGAGCCACCUGCGACCCCAGCGCCAGAUCUGGACCAUCGCCGAAACCCGCAGCCUCCGCCACCUCCACCUGAGCUCUGCCUCGCGCGCAACCCAGCUGCUCUGCGCCCGAAGCUCCACCGCCGCCACAGCCUCCCCACGCAGCUCCCUGCUCACGCGGCCACAAGCCCAUUGGAAACGGGACAGAGACUGCCGCCGAGCCACUUGCCCGCGUGACCGCCGCUGUUUUCCACCACCUCCCUCACGCGAGCUCUUUCCCUCUCAGCAGCAAUCCACUUCACAGCGCACCCGCUGCGCGCCGUCGCAGCCCUCGCAGCUCCAGCCCGUCUGGUCUAGUCCGCCGCGCGCACCAACCACCCACGGACGCUACCCCCAUCGCUAACCCACGCGGCCUCCACUCCAGUCUGUCCGCCGCCGCUGCUCGUGUCUCCCUUGCGCACCUCACGCCACCCGCUACUGUCCCCUUCCGUUUGGUUAGCAUCCACGGUGGAGGUAAUUGGAGGUUAUUUUCUCAAUUGUGUGACUUCCGCCUGUGAUACUGGUUGCAUUAUUUUUGCUGGGAAUUGCUACUUCUUUUGGGUUGGGUUCAACUGUGCAAUUAAUUGGCCAACUGGAGCCAUUUGUUGGGAUUUUGGGUGAGCUGAAAUACUGCAUUUGUGUGUUACAUUGGGAGGUUUAUUGGGUACAUUCUAACCGCUGUUUUCCAUUGUUACUCUCGCUGGGGUGUCUAUUAAAUUGCGAUUGAAGUAUUUUGGAUAUUGCAUGUUGAGAUUGAGGUUUCAUUGAAUUUGGCCUACGUUCUGCCCCCAGUGGUACUGGUGGGAAUAUUUUCAAUUGAAUUUGUUACCUCUAGUUGGUUGGCUACAUUAUUAUGGUCGAAUUCCUAAGUUGUCGUCAUUGCAUUUGUUGAUCUUGAUUUGGGGCAUUAACCGGCCAACUGGAGCCAUCUGUGCGUUUUUAGGCGCUAUUAUUGGUUUCUUCUCCCUUAACUUUGUCAACUAUAUUUGGUUGGGUAUUUGGUUGACUGCCACGGACUUGUAACUGUGUUUUGCUUCUAAUUGACCAGUUGCACAGCAGUUUUUUUUUAAUUGAUAGGGUGGUUAUACCUCUGGAUAUUUGUAUCCACUGGUUUGAGGACAUGGUGAGACCAAAAUCCUCCUCUAGGUCUAGGACCCCUAGAACCUCGCAAUCCCAACCCCAAGCCUCUACUCUAGUCAAUACCCCUAUAAAUCAACCUACUGCUCCCGGUGUCCGAACCUGGUUAGGUAGGGGUAGAGGUGCCCACGUGGCUUCCGCCACUCACUUGGGAGGGCAUUUGGAAUUCACUAGAGCCGCCGAUCAGCGACGCUAUGCUCAAGCUUGUGAGCGGCGUAUCAUUCCGUGCAAAUGCGCGGACCACAUUACUAUGGUUUUUCUGGGGAUCCAAGGGGAGGUUGAGCGCAUGUACACCGCCAUUGGAUGGCGCCCCUAUCUGGAUAUUUUCCAGCCAGCCUUUGUCGAGUUGACUAGAGAGUUUUACACCACUUUUAAGUUUGAAUUACCGACUAGGUAUACUGUUGCGACUCCCGAUAUCAUUCACUUCCGUCUCAUGGGCCAGGAAUUCAAUUUCUCUAUCACCCAGUUCAAUCUGGCUUUCGGUUUCAUCACUCGGGAGUAUGCAGAGACUAGGGAAUACGGUGAGAGUGCCUGCGAUUUUGUGGAACCUUUCCUUACCGCCUACCGUGAGGUGUGGGAGGACAUGUCUGUGGACAUGCAGCGUUACGAUCCCUCUCGGUCUCGGAGCUCCUUUCUAGAGGACCCGAGUGCUCGGUAUGUUCAGCGGCUUUUAGCAUAUAGCUACUCGGGCAGAAAGAACAGCUUCGGUAUUAUCUCUCGGCCGGAGCUCUUCUUCCUUUGGUGUAUGAAGAAUGGGUUCAAGGUCAAUUUGGGUUGUUGGUUGGCGGCACAGUUCAAGACCGUCAUGGCAAAGAAGAACAAGCCGUUGAUUCUUGGGUCGUAUAUCACGUACUUGGCGGUCCAGCUAGGCGUUCUGAAUCUACAGGAUCACGAUUUGCACUUGGCCUGCGACAUGGAGUAUCUCACUGCUGACCGGCUAGAGAAGAUGGGGGUUCUGGAGCUUGUCGAUGGCCACUACCGAUUUGUGCCCCCGGGACCGCCCCGCGCCCCGCCUCGCUCUUCCUCCACCCAUUCGGCCCCAGUUGGCGGUGAUCCUGGCCCGUCGACAUCCGCUCAGCUCCCUCCACCAGCAGGGGCUGAAGAUUGGCACCAAAUCAGGACGCAGAUUCAGAAUUUGGACGCCCGGAUGAUUAGCAUCGAGAGCAACGUGGCGGCUAUAUCACAGAAUCUGGCGGCAUUCCUGCAGCACUCGGGUUUCCCGCCCCCAAUCCCACCUCACCCUCCACUAUGACCCGGUUUCAGGGAAGUUUGGUUACUUUCUCCCUCACUUUUGUUGUUUUUUGACACAUUGAGGACAAUGUGUCCUAUAGGUGUGGGGGGGUCUAUAGUCUUUCUAGUUUUUAGUAGUUGUUAGUUUUUAGUUUUUUAGUAGUUUUAGUUUUAUUUCUAGUUGCGUAUUUUCUUUCUUUUCUUAGUGCUUAUUCCCCAUGUGAAAAGAAAAAGAAAACAAAAAAAAAGAGAAAAAAAUGUUGGUUUAUUGACUCUAACUCUACUUUUGCCAAGUUUUUUUUAAAUAAAAAUGUAUCGGGUUAAUGUGGUUGGAUCCAGAAUAUCUCCCUGGUGAAUAUCGGAUUGCUUGGCUCUUUUGAUUUCUGUGUUAAUUUCUCUAGGCAUAGGGAAUGACUGUUGGCAUUUUAAUGUGAACUGGUCCAAUAUUGACUCCAGUUCUCUAUGUUUGGCAAUAAUGAGGCGAGCUGUUCCUAUUUUUGGUUCUUAGUGUUGUUAUUAUGUGUUUUUGGCUUUGUUUGGCUGUGAAUAAUCUGGACUGUACUCCGCUAUGAGUUACUACUGAGUAACCGAGGAUCGGCACCUAAAAGUGUCGAUUCUCGCGUCAAAAGGUGGUACUUUAUAUGAGUACGUGGUCGUAUAGCAGUAGGAGCUGAGUAACCGGGCUCCUUCAUCUAAAAAUGUUGGAGUUCGCGUCAAAAGGCCCCGACGGCUAACGACUAAGUCUUUUUGUGUUAAUUAUUAUUGCUUUGAAAAACAAAAAAAAAAAAGAACGAAAAAAGAGAGAAUAAAUAAUAGGAAGGCUUGCCGGUUUAUGGACUUAAUAUGGAGACUUGUGUGAAUAUUUGGACCAUUAGCUAAUAAAUGUUGUGCGCCAUUCCCUUUUCUUAGAGUAGUUAACCUGGAAAUUGAAGGAAUUUGCAGUUUAGGGGCUAACCGGGGGGGAGGCUUCUUGGAUUUUAAUCACCAAUGCUCGAUAUAUGUUUUUCUCUUGAAGAUCUUGGCAAUAUAGGAGAUUGGACAAUGGCCAUCAUCGAAUUUUGGUGUUCGUUUACUAUUCUUAUGCUUGAGGACAAGCAUGGUUUAGGUGUAGGGGGAAUUGAUAGGGUGUAAUUUUACUAUUUAUUUUAUUAUUAAUUUCUCCUAUCACCUGACCUGAUGUGGAUUAAUUGCUGGAUUCUGCUCACUUUUAGUACUUUGUAUUUAUUUCAGGGAGUAGAACGGAAAUUUGAUAACAGGUGCUAAUUUGGCAGAAAAAAGUCCAGAUGAUAGAGCUUGCCCCAAGGGCAUUUUUGGAAAGGAGAACUUGUGCCCAUCUUGGUAAUUUGGGAGAAAAGGGAAACAGACAAAAUGGGUCUAACAUGGAUUGGAAGCGGCCGCACAGUAGCAGGGAAGAGGGCAGACGUAAAAGCAAUUGCAGGGGGGAAAAGGAGUUUUUUUAGUUUUUAGCUUAGCAUCUGAUUUUCCCUGGGAGACUUUUGUUAAAGAUUUCCUUUUGGCUGAUAUUACGCAUGGCAGAUGGCUUUUAACUUAUUCCUCCAUCUUUGACUUUUCUUCUUUAGCUUGUAGUAGUGGAUUGCUACUUACGAAUGUCAGCACUUAGCCAUUCGUGGCUUUUGAUCUUUUCUUCCUUAGAAAUUCUGAGUAGCCUCUUUUCCUUUGUGCGCCAGACGAAGUGAAAACUAUAAACUUUUGUAGUGUUUCUAUUCAUUCAAUAUAUUGAGACGAGUUGGAUUCUACCAAAUUUCAAUGGACAUGGCCGCUGGUUUCUCUUCAAUUUUAUAUGGGCUUUGUUCAUCGAACAUGAACUAAUUUCACCACUCUAGUCAAGGAACAACGAAGACUCUGGUUCGCCUAAAAAUUGUGAGAUCGUUUUAAUUUAAUCUUUUCCUUUUAUUUAUUGGUAUCCGCACAUUUCUUGAUUGCUAUGCUUAUGGUUAUUUAAUUAAUUGAUUGUCUUGGAUCCAGAUAAUUAAUUGAUCUGAUAGCCUAUUGUCAAUUAGGGCAUUUAAAUCCGUAAUUGUUUAAUUGUCCUGAAAUAGUGACAACUGGCACGAUUAGAUUCGUGCCAGGGGGGAUAUGCGGGCUAAUCUAAAAUAACCCUGGUAGUGUGUUAUUUGGUUAGAAUAGGGCUCCUCUAAUAUGUAAGGCAAUUGGGGAAUUAAAUUCUACGGGCGUACCUAGAAUUAUUUCUUAAUUAGAGUAGUGAUUAACGGGCGUACCUUGAUCACCGACACAGUAAGGAGGGGUUGACUGCCAUCGCUUGUUUGGCAGUUAUAACAUAUUUAUCAGUAAAUAAUUGGGAUUGCCUUGCAUCAAUGAUCAAUUAGAUGAACUAUUGCUGAAGUUACUUCUUGGCUAGAUCUUUAGUUAAUAUUACCUUGAUUUUGGUGAAUUGCCAUUUGAUUUUUAGUUGCCUACUUUAUUUUAUUUUUAAUUGUUUCCUUGCUUUAAUUGAGUUAGGCCUUUAAUUAUUGUUAUUCUAAGUUUAGUGAAUUGUGGUUUAAUUCCUAAUUAGUUAUUUAUUUUUACUUUCUUAUUUGAAUUUAUUUGCUUGUUAUCAUUCCUACGAAAUCACCCCCCUGUGUUACUUUGGAUUUCUUAAGAAACAAAUAUACCCAGUCCCUGUGGAUACGACCCUACUUGCCCUGUCCACGAAUUCAUAAUUAUUUGUGAAAAGAAAUAACCAUUCCACUCGGGUAUAUCGGAUCAAGCAAACUCUUCGGGAACAGGGUGAAUCAAGUAACCCAUUGCACACCUAAAAUCCCUGCUCCAGUACUUGGAAUUGGGUUUUGGUCAUUUUAACUGGCAAUUAAGUUUAAUUUUAUUAUUGCACAGGCUGACGACCCUGUCAUUGUAUUUGUACCAAAAGUGAAAACUUAACUAUUUUAGUUGUAUUUAUUUCAUCAUGUUGGAUUGUAUUCAAAUAAUUUUUGUUUGAUUGUUUUUAUAAGUUUCAAUUGUAAAAUUAAAAUGAAUAAUAACUUGAUGAUGUGUUGAUAUUUUAGUACUUGAUUAUUUAUUAAAAUUUAAUUAUAAUAAAAUUUUAUUAACUCAACGAGAAAAAUUUUAUUAAUCCCGUGGGGGCACCCGCGGGGAAAGCGGGGCGGGGCGAGGGGAGUGGGAGGCGGAGGACGGGGCGGGGGCGGGGGAUGGGGGAGGGGUCCCCCGCCCCAACCCCGCCAUCCCCCGUCCCGUUGUCAUCCCUAGUAAUAGACUGGCAAGCAUUGUGGUGGUCAUUGAGCAACUUAUAGGAGAAAUAGUCCUAUAAGCUGUUCAAUGACCAAUCACAACUUGCUAAUUGGAUGACUAAUAUAGCUCUAGCUGUAAUGUUUUAAUUAAAUUACAUCACUAACGUUGGGAUGACUUUUUAACCAAAAAAAAAAAGCCUUAGUUCAAGCUUUUCCCUUUAUUGUGCAUUUUUUAAAGCAUUUGAAAGGCACUGCAAAUCUGUCAUUUUGGACAUUUUAUUAUUGACUAACAAUGAAAGCCGUGGACGUCUACCCAUAACCAACACAAGAUUAAAUUAAUAUUAGAAAAAAUAAUUGAGUAAUUGGAAAAAAAAAAAAAAGAAGAGUCUAAUUUUCAUUGAAACCCACCGACAAACUAUACGUGUCCAUGGCUUUUGAAUAGUGCAUUCAACGUUUAAUUGUAUGGUCCAGUUCAUUGCAGAUUACAUGGAGUAAAGAUUGCGCUCUUUCCUUUUCACCCCUUUUGGAAUCGAUACUGUGGAGAAUUGGGUUUUUCCCUCCUUUUUUUCUUUUCUUUCCUUCUGUGGUUUGCAAAACAUACGUAAAAAUAUGAAAUCCGAAGCAUUCUUUAAUUGGUAUUAAGUAUUGUUGUUGAAAUUAAAAAGAAAAAAGAAAGAACAACAAAAUUCCCAAUCUGGGUUGAUUGUUGAGCUCUAGAUUGGUUGCAUCGUGCUUCCAUAGAAGCAAGAUUUGUAAAAUCGGAAUCCUACAUAGGAUCGAUUUUAGUUUCACAGGAUCGGAUUGUAAAAUCGUAAGAUCCUACCAAAAGCUCUCAAUUGCAAUUAAAGGUUGCAAUUCUUUAAUAAAUUACAAAUAUACCACAAAUAUUUUCAUUUACUUGCAAAAUGGAGCUUCGUAUUUCACAAAUUUACAAAAAAAUUGUAGGAUCGUACGAUCCUACCGAUCCUACGAUCCUACACGAUCCUACCGAUCCUGCUACGAUUCUAUGCGAUCCUACAAAGAUUAAUAUGAUUUGCGACUCUGCAUACGAUCCGGAUCGAUUUUGGUUAUCCGGAUCGUAGGAUCGUAUGAUCCUACGAUCCGGAUCGCGAUUUUGACAACUAUGCAUAGAAGCUCUCUUAGUGUGAUACACUGCUUUCAAUCAGUUUAACACGGGAAAAAAAAAAAGAGAUGAAAAGCAAAUUUGGUGGAGAUAAUUUCAGAAACCUCCCCUGAAGAUUUUGACUAUUCUACUGGUUUCCCUUCAGAUUUUAAAAAUUACACUAAUCUUCCUUGAAGUUAAUUAUCUUGUAACAUUUAAAUUCAAUCAAUAAUUUAAAAAAUGAUAUUAUGAGAGAGAAAAUAAUAUGAUUUUAUCAUUGCCCCCCAUCUUACUACAUUAUUUAAUUAAUUUAAUAGCAACCCACACAUUAAAGAAAAAUAUUAAAAUUUGUUGUUUAUCAUUAAAGAUCAAAUCGCUUAUAACAUCAAAUAAUAGUAUAUUAUUUAUAUUUUUCACUUAAUAUAAUAUCCAAAUUACUCUUUUCAAUUACAUACCCAUUGUUAGAGAAUCAACAACAAAUAACCAAAAAAUUUGCAACCAAAAUAUUACAAAAAAAAUAAACUUUAACAUCAUAAAUAUUCUUAUCAACAUAUUAAAGUUAGUUACUGAAAUUUUUAUGCUGUUAAACUUCACUCUUUUUGAAUACAGAUUUUUUUGAUUAUUUGUUAUUAAUUAUGUUUGAUGAUGGGUUUAUAAUUGAAAAGAACAAUUUGAAACUUACAUUAAGUAAAAUAUAUAGAGUGAUAUACUAUUUUUUAUAACAUAUGUGAUUCAAUCCUUCUUGAUAGGAUUGGUAAUAGAGGUAGAGGGGGGAGUCGGCUGCAUCCGGUCUUCUUUUCAUAGAUAGUACAAUAUUGCGAAAUCAAUCGCAUUCACACAAUAAUAUUUCGAAGUCAAUGCAUGGCUAAGUUGCAUAAAAGUACGAACACUUGUUAUUAUAUAGCUUAAGAUUCAAAACUUUCGAGCAUAACCCUCCACCCAACACAAUUGAAUAAUGAAUAUUCACGAUUGUCAAAUCUGUCAAAGCACAGUUUGAGGACAACCCAUUCCAACCUGCAAAAGAUUUUUUACUUUUCUAAAGUUGUUGAGAGCUGUAAAAAGACUUACCAUGCUUGCAUCCUCCGAGCCUUGGGAGUUAAAAAUGAAGGCACUGAGUGCUAUAAAAAGGGGAAUAGAGGCUGCCUAGAAGCAUAUCAGCCUAAAACAAGAAUUUGUAGUUAAGAUGGGAAGCAAAGCAAAAGCAAUGGGGUCUGGGCUGACUCCUCUUCUUGCCACUGUUUUAGUGGUGUUUGUUGCUCUUGGCUUGCCCUCACAAACUGCAGCUGAUGAUCACUACAAGUAUUCAUCUCCUCCUCCUCCUUACCACUAUCCCUCACCACCACCACCAGUGCAUAUACCUCCACCUCAUCCUGUUUACAAGUACAAAUCUCCACCACCCCCACCACCACACCCAGUUUACAAGUAUAAGUCACCACCACCACCUCCUCAUCCGGUAUACAAGUAUAAGUCUCCUCCGCCACCACCACACCCAGUUUACAAGUACAAGUCACCACCACCACCUCCUCAUCCGGUACCACACCCAGUUUACAAGUAUAAGUCACCUCCACCACCUCCUCAUCCGGUACCCACAGUUUACAAGUAUAAGUCACCACCACCACCUCCUCAUCCGGUAUACAAGUAUAAGUCUCCUCCGCCACCACCACACCCAGUUUACAAGUAUAAGUCACCACCACCACCUCCUCAUCCGGUGCCACACCCAGUUUACCACUACAAGUCACCACCACCACCUCCUCAUCCGGUACCACACCCAGUUUACCACUACAAGUCACCACCACCUCCUCACCCAGUUUACAAAUACGAGUCUCCACCACCACCAGUUUAUAAGUACAAGUCACCACCACCUCCUCCACCAGUUUACAAGUAUAAAUCUCCUCCACCACCACCACCAGUUUACCACUACAAGUCUCCACCACCUCCUCCCCCAGUUUACAAAUACAAGUCUCCACCACCUCCUCACCACUACUAAGCAAUUGCUUCUGAGGUAAUAACACUUGUUCAAUAUACCCACUUCUGCAUGAUAAAGCAUAUCUCUAUCAACACAAACUGUCAUGUCUAUCAUGCUAAGUGCCUUCACUUCAUCCACCAAAAUGACUGCUAGAAAAUUUUUUUUAUGUUACCAAAGAAAGGCAUCAUUUUUUCCCUCUGUUAUCAAGAACUUGUACAGUAUAUAGAUUAAAGAGUAUUUUUUUAACUAGCUUAUCAACUGAGAAAUGCAUAUAGCUGAUAGCCAGCUGAAUAUUUGCAGGCAAAGGAGAAGGAAACCAUGUUUGAGACCUUCUUGAAGAUGUAGAAGCAUAAGAAUAAAAGCCCAAUGUGAAGAUGAUGAUUUCAAGUUUUUCUACGUUACCAUUUCUUUAUCUAAAUUGGUUGUAGCGCCCAAGUUCCUUUGUUUAUGGGAUUUGUAUCGUUUUACGUACCAUGCAGUACAUGUCAUGUUUGUAAGGUUUUCUAUCCUGCCGGCAAACCGCAGGUUCCAUGUGAUAAAUGAAUACUAUUUAUGUUACGACACUUUUCUCUGUUUCUCUUAUAUUUUGUCUUUAAUAUUCUUAAUCAUAUUUUUAACAAAAAUAUUCAAACACUUAGGCAAUCUGGUCUAAUGCUAAUUGUAUGUUUUACUUUUCUUUUUCACCUGCUCCCCUUUUCAACUCAAAAGGAUGCAAUAGUUUGUGAUCACUGUUUAAGACGGAAGCAUGAUACUAAUGAAUAUCUCAUUGAAACUCAAGGAAACUAACAUUGCGAAAAGUGUAAAUCUUGAUUUGAUGCAACUAUUUAUUCGUGGAAUCUAUAGUUACAAAACUCAAAUUCUGACUGCGCCAUUGAUAAAUUAUUAAUGACGCUAUCAUCAUUAUUUAUCCCUAACUAGUUUCGACUACAACUGAACCCAAUAUUUUCCCCAUGAUAAAAGUUUUUGACUAUUUUACUGGCCUCUCUUCAAAUUUUAAAAAUUACACUAAUCUUCAUUGAGAUUAAUUAUCUUGUAACAUUUAAGUCCAAUUAAUAAUUAAAAAAUGAUAUUAUGAGAGAGAAAAUAAUAUAAUUUUAUCAUUGCCCCCCAUCUUGCUAUAUUAUUUAAUUAAUUUAAUAGCAACCCACACAUUAAAGAAAAAUACUAAAAUUUGCUGCUUUUCAUUAAAGAUCAAAUUGCAUAUGCCAUAAAACAUAGUAUAUCAUUCUAUAUGUUUCACUUAAUGUAAGAUCCCAAUUGUUCUUUUCAAUUACAAACCCAUUGUCAAACAUGAUCAAUAACAAAUAAUCAAAAAAUUUGCAACCAAAAUAUUACAAAAAAAAACUUUAACAUCAUAAAUAUUCUUACCACCUCUAGUGCAUUCACCCUCAUAAAAUAAUUCAAGACCCUACUGUCAUAAAAUGACUGAUCAACUCCUGUAAACCUAAUUUGACAACAUUUAAAUGGAGAACUUUAGCUAAAAGAAUUAUGGUCAAGCUAAAGAAAAAACCAGUUAUUUUCCAACAUAUGCAACCAUUGAUCAGGGGAAAAAAAAAAGCAAAAAGACAUCUUCAAUCAUUUAAUAGCUUACAGGGCAAAUUAACCCUUGAGUGAAAACUGGUUGCUCUAGAAUUAAAAUUUUACCUUAGUUACCCAGGCAACUUUUUUGUUGCCUUUUCUUUUUCUUUUUUGGGUAUAUAGCUCCAGUUUUGCCCCCUCUGUCAAGCUUAUAUAAUUAUUAAGAUAAUAAAAGUGCCUUUAAUAGUAUUAAUAUAUCCAUUGACUUGAGCUGUCAUCGAUCGGUUUGGGCUACUUCGAUUCCAUGAGAACAAAUGGUAAUAAAAGUACUCAGAAAAUGGGGAGUCAUGAAACCCUUUUGUUCUAUUCAUUGCUAAGAUGCUUUUCUCUAUAAAGAGACUUCCUAACGAAAAUACUUUGUAGAUUUCUUUACUCCAAGUGGUGCAUGGAAAAUUAAUAUUUUCAAUUAUCAAAUAAAAUUCCCUUUUUUCGGCGUAGAUUUCAUCCAUCCAGCUGUUAACACAUUCUAUAAAUCCGAAUUGACUAAUCUUUUCGUUUCCAUUUUCCAACUUGCGAAUACGGCAUAUAGUGUCUGCUAAACACUAUAUAUUCUCUGCCAAAUAUGAAUACAUAUCACUUUUCUGAGCAAGUGCAGAGUCAUUAUCAUUUUUAUUCCCACCUAACAAAUUAGGGAUAAAAAAGUUAAUAAUCUUUACAUGCUAUCAGGUCACAAGUUAAUAAUCUUUUAAAGAACAUGUUAAAUUAAUUUAUUGGUAUGAAUAGUAGUCAAAGAAGUAUGUUAAAGUUAGUAAUCUUUAAAAUAAUAUGUUAAAAUCAUUCGUACAAAUUAGUCAGAGAAGUAGCAUAAACACCGCGAUGCAAUUAAUACUUUCAAUCUCAAGGUCUCUAUUAUGGAAAUUUGCAUCGGUCAAUAUACACUUGGCAUAAUAUAAUCUCCCAACUCAUUUCUUUACAAAUGCACCUUUAAUCACCACCAAAAGGUGUGGACAUGAUCUUUACCCUAGAAAACUAUUCACCGACAGGCAAAUUGACGUCAGAAAUACUGAGGAAUUCUAGUUUCCUUCGGGUUCAUGCCAUGUUGUAUCCUUCAACUGUAACUCGAUUUCUAAGCUGUAAUUUGUGACAUAAUAGUCCUUAAACUAUGAAACCCUUCUUACUUAAUUACAAUGGUUAAUACAAUGCCCGUGACUAGACAAGUAUGAAGCAACCAUAACAGAAAAAAAAUCCAAAAUUAGAGAAAAGAAAGAAGUUUCGCGACCACCACCAGUUUACAAGUCACCUCCACCACCUCCUCCAGUUUACAAGUCACCUCCACCACCUUACCAUUAUUCCUCACCACCACCUCCAGUGCAUUCACCCCCACCACCACCAGUUUACAAGUCUCCGCCACCACCUUACCAUUAUUCCUCACCACCACCUCCUGUGCAUGCACCUCCACCACCAAUUUACAAGUCACCUCCUCCAGUUUACAAGUCUCCACCACCACCUUACGAUUAUUCCUCACCACCACCUCCAGUGCAUUCACCCCCACCACCACCAAUUUAUAAGUCUCCCCCACCGCCUCCCCCAGUAUAUAAGUCACCACCACCACCUCCUCCAGUAUACAAAUCACCUCCACCACCUCCUCCAGUUGACAAAUCUCCACCACCACCAAUUUAUAAAUACAAGUCUCCUCCACUACCUCCUCCAGUGUACAAGUCAUCACCACCACCUGCUUACAAGUCUCCACCUCCUCCAGUUUACAGUUCCCCACCACCACCAAUCUACAAGUCUCCACCUCCACCCUACCAUUACUACUACAAUUCUCCUCCUCCUCCUCGUCACUACUAAGCAAUUGUAUCCAAGUUUUUGAGGUAAUAACGCUUAACCAAUAAAUUAACUUUCGCAUGAUAAACCUUAUCUCUAUCAAGACAAACUGCCAUGUGUAUCAUGCCAAAUACGUACACCUAGAUCCAUGAAAAUGAAUGGUAGAAAGUUUUCUUAAGAACCAAGAACAGCAUUAGUAUUCCCUCUGCUUCCAAAAACUUGUGUAUUAAAUAGAUUAAUGAAUUGUUUAACAUGCUCAUCUACUUGAAAAUGCACAAUACCCAUAACCCACUGAAAUUUUUGCAGGAAAAGGGAAAGAGAAUCUGUGUUUGAGAGCUUCAUGAAGAUGUUGAAGAAUAAGAAUAAAAGCCCAAUGCAAGGAUGUUUUCAAGUUUUUCUAUGUUUCCACUUUAAUUUGUAAAUUGAAUUUUGCGACUCAAUUAAUUCCCUGUUUGUGAGGUACGUAUUGUUUUACGUACCAUGCCGUACAUUUUUUUUUUCCAACAAACGGUAUCAUGUUAUAGAUAUUAACACUUGACCUUACAAGGAUUAGUUACAAAAAGGGGAUACUACCCUCAACUCUGUCCUAGCUAAAUCAGUCAGCCAUAUUGGGAAAUUAGUUUCCCAUUCAAUAUCAUGUACAAGCUUCACAGCAUAUUGUGCUAAUUGAUGGCUGAUGUGAUUUUCAGUUCUAGGUAUAAACACAAAAGAACAUUUUUCAAAAGCUAGACUAAGUUCCUGCACAUCUUCUAAGAUAGUUGCAGUCGUGUAGUCAUACUCCUUGCGUUUAGUAAUCUGCUCUACCACUGAUUUGCAGUCUGUAUGGACUAUAAUUUGUGUCCAACCUGCUUGGGUAGCCAUCAGCAGAGCAUUUCUCACAGCCCGAGCUUCCACUUCACUUGCCGAUCCCUUUCCCUGUGUGACAAUUCCUUUUGCUUUCAAAAGCUGUCCUUUCCAAUUUCUUGCUAUAAUCCCUUGUCCGGUCCUGACUCGUUUAGCUGAUAUCGCUGCAUCGGUAUACAGCCUUAUCUCUUCCUUCCUUGGCCGCACUCUCCUGGUAGGUAAGGCAUCAUUCAGCUUCCCUGCGAUCUCCUUCUGGUCUGUACUCCCUACCUGUUCAAACUCAAGCCAUUCCUCCUGUGCUUUCCUUACUAUUUUUACUGGAUCCUGGUUGGCUUGUUCAAAAAAUUUUUUGUUCCUGGCUUUCCAAAUUUGCCAAAGGAUAUUGAUAGUAAGACUAACUCUCUCCUGACCUUGGUUCAGUGCCAGCGAUUGUGUGACUUGUUCCCACCAUAACCAAAAGUUAUAUUGCAUACCCAGUAAUCCAUCCCACCUGACCGGUGCUAGCUUCCACGUUUCCACAGCCUUUUCACAGAAGAAAAACAAAUGCUCAAUAGUUUCCAUAUCUUCACCACAGCAACCACAUCUGCCUUCCCCUCUAUGUAGCCUUUUCGACAUCUGUUCAUUGACUGGCAGACAAUUUUGUAAGCACUUCCACAUGAAGUGUUUUAGUUUGGCCUUCACCUUCAAAUGCCAUAGCUGCUUCCACACAUUUCGUUUUCGUAUCUCCCAACUUGUUUCUGCCUCUUGGCCUGUCCUUGUACCUGCUUUUCCUUCCCGUUGCCUUGCUAAAGCAUAACCAGAUUUCACGCUAUAAAUUCCAGCUUUGGAAUGCCCCCAUACCAACCUAUCCUUUCUUCUUCCUAUACUUGUUGGAAUUCCCUUUAUGUGCUCUGCAUCUUUUGCACAAAACCACUUGAGAAGCAAAUCAUUUUUCCAUUUCCCUUCCUCUAUCAGCUCACUUACCCAUUCCAACUUGCAUCCCACAGGUUGUGUGGUUGAUGCAAAGCCGGUAUCUGAACCAACUAUCCAUCUGUCCCGCCACAUGUUGACUGACUUGCCAUCUCCAAUUCUUUUCCAAAGACCAUCAUACAGAAAGGAGGCUGCACUAUGAAUACUCUUCCAACACCAUGAGGCUGAAGAGACUGGCUUCUUGUCCAUCCAUUUUUCAUCACUCAUAUACUUCGCCUUCAUUACCUUACUUACUAACAAAUUUGGAGCCAUUAAGAAUCUCCAAAUUUGUUUUGCCAGUAAUGCUGUGUUGAAGGCCUCCAAAUCUCUAAAGCCUAAACCUCCUCUUCCCUUAACUUCUAAGAGCUUCUUCCAGCUUGCCCAAUGUACACAGGUACCCUUUUCUCCCUUCCCCCACCAGAAACUCGCUAUUUUACCUGUGAUUUGUCUACACAAACCCCUUGGAAGUCUAAAGCAAGCCAUCACAUAUGUUGGCAUAGCCAUAAUCACUGAUUUGACCAGAAUUUCUUUCCCUCCUUGGCUCAACAGUUUUUGUUUCCAACCUUGCAACUUGUUACUAAUUUUGUUCUGGACAAAUGCAAAGACCUGUGUCUUUGAUCUUCCAAUUGCCAUUGGGAGUCCUAGGUAGGUUCCAUUCCUUGCCUCUUUAAUGUUAUCUAAUACCUCCCUCACUCCAUUCUUCCUUUGAUCAGUGGUAUUUUUGCUAUAGAAGAUAGCUGACUUUUCAAAAUUCACCACCUGUCCGGAUGCUUGACCAUAUCUUUCCAAUAUGCUUUUGACCUUCCUCGCCUCCUGCUUGGUUGCUUGGCAGCAUAGUAGAGAAUCAUCUGCAAAAAAUAGGUGAGAAACCAUCGGACUGUCCUUGCAUAUUUUGAUCCCUGUAAUUUCCUUGUUCAUCAUAGCUUUAUGGAUCAAACAUGAAAGACCUUCAGCGCAUAUAAUAAACAAGUACGGGGAUAGGGGGUCUCCUUGUCUAAGCCCUCUACUCGGUUGAACACAGCCUACCUUUUGCCCAUUUAAGUUGAAGGAGUAAGUCACAGUAGAUAGGCAAGACAUGAUCCAUUUAACAAAAAUUGGACAAAACCCCAUUUUCAUCAUAACUCUCCCCACAUAUUUCCAUUCGACUCUAUCGUAAGCUUUGGACAUGUCCAGUUUAAGAGCCAUAAAUCCUACCCUUCCCUUUCUCCUAUUUUUCAAAAAAUGCAGGAUUUCAUGUGCAACUACUACAUUAUCAAGAAUUUGACGGCCUGGGAUAAAAGCGGAUUGAGAGGGACUAAUACAAUGAUGCAAGACACCUUUCAAUCUAUUAGCUAUGAUUUUAGAAAUGAUUUUAUACAGGACAUUGCACAAGCUAAUAGGUCUAAAAUGCACCACAGAUUCAGGAGUAUCAACUUUAGGAAUCAACGAAAUAAUAGUAUCAUUCACAGCUUUGAGCAAAUGCCCAGUAUGAAAGAAACUCUUAAUAGCUGCUACCACAUCAUCCUUGAUAAUAUCCCAAUAGUGUUGAAAAAAUAGAGGAGACAUACCAUCCGUUCCUGGUGCUUUAUUAGGGUGCAUCGAGAACAAAGCUUUCCUGAUCUCACUUUCCUCCACUUGUCGUAUCAGUUGUCCAUUCAUAUGACUCGAAAUAGUGCUUGGAAUUUCAGCUAGAAUGUCCUCAAAGCAGUCCGGGUUAGUAGUGGUAAAAAGGUCUUUAUAGUACUCACAAAGUUCCUCCUCAAUCUCAUGUUCCUCCUUGCACCAUGUCCCAUCUUUUUUCUGCAAUAUAGUGAUCUUAUUUCUCCUCCUCUUUGCCAUGACCGAAGAAUGGAAAAAAGCUGUAUUCUUGUCCCCUUCUUUGAGCCACUUGUUCCUGGAUUUUUGACUCCAAAACAUCUCUUCCUCUGCAUAAGCUUUAUUCAAUUGUGCUUUUAGUUCAGCCACUUGUACUCUUUUCCCUUCAUCCUUUCUUGCUUUCACUUCAGCCAAUUUCUCCUUUAACACUUUAAUUCUAACCUUUGAGUUUCCCUGCACCUUUUUCCUCCAAUCCAGAAUAGCCAUGCGACAUUCCUUUAUUUUUGUAGCCACUCUAAACAUCCUGGACCCUGACUUCACCUUUGUCCAUGCUCCUUGAAUCACCCUUUUUGCUUCUGGAUUUAGCGUCCAUCGUUGAUCAAAGUAAAAUCUCCGUUUUCUCCUUGUGUUUUCCGGGUUUGUAUCCACAAGAAGCAUUAGAUGAUCAGAGGCUUCAGUAUCUAAAUGAGUACACUGUGCCUUUUCAAAUCUUUGCAGCCAUUCGGUGCUGCAUAAACAUCUAUCCAACCUCUCUUUCACUUCCCCAUCCCCCUCCCAACUAUUGCACCAAAUCCACGGGACCCCUUGAUAACCUAAGUCAACCAGGUUAUUGUCUUUGAUAAACCUGUUGAACUCCCUAAAACAUCUUUCAGCUCUAUCCCUUCCUCCCCACUUCUCCUCACUAGACCUCAAAUCAUUAAAAUCUCCUACAAUGAUCCAGCCAUCCCCCCAGUCCCUCAUCCUGUCCUCUAAAUAUUUCCAUUGUGCUUUUCUAAUGUUACUAUCUGUGCUUGCAUAAACACACACUAGCCCCCAGUAUCCUUUAGUAUCCUUGUCCUCAACUCUAGCACUAAUACACCAAUCAGUACUUACAAUCUGGUCUAAAAUCACCUCAUUGUUCCAGAAUAAUGCUAGACCGCCUGCUUUACCUAUUGAAUUCACAAAAAAGCUAUUGUCAUACUGAAUCUUCCUUUGAACCUUGCCCAUAAACCCUUCCUGAUUCUUAGUUUCACAAAGGAACACCACCUUAGGAGAGUGGAAGUUAGUCACUUCCUUUAGUUGGGGACUUGUCAAGGGGCCUCCUACACCUCGACAAUUCCACACCACAACCUUCAUUUACACUUUGGAGGCUUUCCGGGGCUAGCCUCCAUUUCCCCUAUUGUACUAACAUUUAUUAGAUCCAGUUUCAUAACCUUUACCUUCGGUACAUUAUCAUCAUCCUCCUCUAUCGGUUGUGUUCCCUGAAACAUACCAUCAGCCUUCCUUUUAGCACACGAAACCUGCGUUACUUGUCCAUUUGUAUCUGCCUUUAAGGAUGUUUUAGCCGGCCUCCCUCUUCUUUUAAAACUGCUUCUUUUUUCAGCUUUGUUAUCUUCUUCCCCUGGAGUAGCCUCCUUUCUUGGCAUUCUUGCAUUUGUCUCCUCCUGCUUUAUUGACCCUACCCGCAAACUUUCACAUUCCUGUUUUGAGCUGUCCGUUUCCAUAUCCUCAUAAUCUACUGGUGGGAUUACGCUGCUCCCUCCUUUACUCCCUUCCUGUACCCUACCCUCCUUUUCACCAUUUCCCUCCAUUAAGACCACAGCCAAACUUUCCACCCGUUGGUUUGCCUUUCCAUACUGCCUGCUGUCUUUUAGAAUCUCAUCCCACCUCUCUUCAUAUUGUCUCGUCAUCAUUUUCUCCUUAUCCCCCCUUUCCUUUCCCCCCAAGACUCUACCAUUUUUUCCCCCAAGAGUUAAUGUAUCUCCAGCCAUUUGUACUCCAGUUUGAACUUCACUACUAGGAGACCCUGCCCCCACCCUCCUUGCAUCAAUUUCACUUACUCCUUCCAGCCGUCCCUUUAAGGGAGAUACCAUUAUAUUUCCAGCUCUCAUCCAGGCACCAUAUUGUUCCUCUCGCUUCUCCCCCCCACCCUUCCUACCACAGUACAAGUCCUAUCACUAUGCCCAAUGAUACCACACCUAUAACAGAAAUCAGGGCAGCGUUCAUACCUGAACUCAACCCACACUGCCUGGUUCUUACAGUUGAUCUUUGUCCCUCUAACCAGUGGUUUCGUUAUAUCUACCUCAGCCAUAAUCUUCAUGUGGCGACCCUCUUUCCCACCACUUCCUGGGAGAAUCACUCCCCUCACUGAUUUAAAGAUCCCUCCUAUUUUCAAACCCACUGCUCUGCUCAACCAGUGCACCGGUAGGUUCCAUAGUUGAAUCCAAAGAAAGGAAUGCUGGAAAAAGCUGCUGUUUGUAUCAUACCCCUCUACCCACUCCUUCACUAUCAGCAACUGGUUGUCCAUGACCCAAGGCCCUCCAGAUAAGAUCUUUUUCUUUUCCCCUUCAUCUCCCAGAUGGAAAUGGAAUAAGUUAGGACCUAACUCAGUCACUUUCAUCUUUGAGGGGUAUCCCCAUGCAUGAUUUGUAAAGUUCUUUAACCCCGUAAAGUUGGCAAUUUUUUCACCAAUCAGCUUUCCUACCAGGCUUCCUUGACACUCAGAGACGCCUUCUUCCAGGUCCUCACCACUCAGAUCGACACCUCCUAACUCUGUUUCAGACAAGUCAAAAUUUUGAAAGGCUCUUUCUAAAGCAUCCGCCAUUGCUGUGACGAGAGCUCCUUGAGAAACCAAGCACUAUUUCUGAGCUAUGAGUGACCCACUGACAGACCUGUGAAGAAUUGCAAAGACAGACAAAGCUGUGUUAUCCGUACACACUAAAAACCAACCAGAAAAACAGAGAGGAACUCGACAGAAAAAGCACAGGCACAAGAAGAAACGAAAGAAAAAAGAAAAACCAACAAACCACUAUCCCACUCCCGACCACAUAACAGCAUUAAAGAAAGGGACACAAAUACGACACUCCAACUUCCGAUCACAUGCUCUGACUCAAUGGAUCAUAUCUUGCCCAAAGCGUUUACUCCUCCAACCGAUUCCAAACCACUACAGACAUUGUCUCCCAUUUUGAAGCCGGAAGAAAGGUGGCUUCUGGACAGGGAACAUGAAAGCAAAGGUUGAACUAAAGAUUUGAUUUUAGAUCUGAAAAUUACGCUGUAGGAAAAAGUGCUAUGUGUUUGUACCUCACCCACUCUCCCACACCGAGGAGGGGAACCUCUAAAGUUAGAGAGAGAAGCUCUCAAGUUAGAGAGAAGCUUUGGAAGUUAAUUACCAACGUACCAUGCCGUACAUGUUUGUAAGGAUUUCUAUCCUAUUGGCAAAAGUCGGUUCCAUACAAUUAAUCAAUUCAUUUCACUUCUAUUGGCUCUACUAUUUAUGCAUGUUACGACACUCUUUCCCUUAUAUUUUGCCUUUAAUAUUAUGAGUCAAUAGUAAUAAUGGGCCUUUUUCUUAAAAUUAUACUAUUAUACAUAGGUAGUUUGGUCUAACGCUAAAUUCAUGUUUGUCUUUCUUUUAUUCCCUUUACAUCUCAAAGUAUACUAUAGUUUGUAAUCAUUGUGGUGAUGAUAUUACCAGCUGGUACUUAUAGUUUAAGGCAGAGACAUGAUAUUAACAACUAUCUCAUUGAAACAUAAGUCAAAAUCAUGACAAGUGUGAGUCUUGGUUAAUGCACAAUUUGUUAGUGGAAUUUAUAUUUAUAAAACUCAAAAAAAAUUUUUGACAAUGCUAUUACUAAUUAAUUAAGGACUUCAUUGCUAUAAUUUAUCGCUUACUAAUUUAAACUAUAAAUGAUCUCAAUACUUUUCUCCAUGAUGUCGAUUUCUUUAGACUACGAAAGGGAAAAAUUAGUGACAUAUCCCUUACUGAUUACAACAUCAGCAAAAAUUAGUUAUAAACUUUUCCGGUGGUUUUAAAUCCCUCGGGCACUAAGGUUUUUUGCACAUCGAGUGAAUUAAGGAACAUAGGCAAUUCGUUCUGCAUACCAAGUCCUUGUUUAAGAUGCACGUACUAAAAUGCAUCCACUUCAUUAAUUUGGAAAAUUGCCAUAGUUUUUUUUAAGCAUUUUGAUUUUUUACAUGAUUCAAAAUUUUCUUAUUGGAUACAAUCACUUUGUGUCAAGAACACAUUUUCAAUCAUCUUUUUUAUCUUCUCAAUAAGAAAAUAAAAAUUUAUUCAUGCUUUUCUAACAUAUCCAAUCAUUGAUCUGAAAAAUAAAGAAUUAAAAAAAAAAGACAUUUUCAAUCAUUGCUUACGGGGCAACUUCCCCAUGUGAACCUCAUCAAACAAAGCCAAUAAUAUGAAGGAACAUCUAAAUACACUUUUGCCCUAAAGGCUGGUUGCCUUGGGGUCAAAAUUUAACCUUCGGGAGUAUAAUUACCCGCCAAAUUUAUUAUUUUUUUUAUGGGUAUAUAGUUCCAAUUUUGCCUCCUGUUAAGCUUAUAAAUAUAUUACGACCCAGAAAAUAAAGGAAUCUUGAAUAGUAACAUGUCCAUUGACUUGAGUUGUUAUCAAUUUGGCUACUUCGAUUCCAUGAGGCCAAUCCAAUUCACACUAGCUAGAGAAAAUGGUGAUAAAGGCACUUAGAAAUUUAUAUGUAAUAUUGAUUGGUAGUAACUGAUAAGUAUAUAUUUUACGUGUUUUAAAUAUGUUUUAUUAGUUAGUUUUGGUGUGUUUUAACUACUUUUAUAACUAAUUAACUAGGAAUCUAGUGAAAAUAUGCAUUUUGUGGUUUGAAGUGUAAAAAUUGUAUUUCUAUGGAUUUUAAUGGUGAAAACUUCAUGUUUUUGUAGGUUUAAUGAUUCAAUCAUCAAAUGACAUGAUUUGAGAAGAUAAUUAGAUGAUUGAUGAUGUUUUGAAGUGAUAAAAAGAGAAUACAAAGUGCAAGAGAGGAAAUGCAAUCAAGAAUAAAAGAAGAAAAUUUUUGUAGCUUUGACAUAUUGUCGUAUUUCGGCAAUAUAUUGAGCUACAAUGAUCGGAUUAAGGUGAUUCUUAAACCAUUUGAAGCUAAAAUAUAGAUCUACAUUUGGCAUGAAGGCAUCGAAACCCAUGUCAGUCAUUUUCCUUGUCAAAAUGUUGAAAUACAGAAGUGCAACUCUGUUCUCGAAAGCUAAAACAGAGCUCUGGCUAGUCGAGGGUAUUUUCAUCAUUUCUUAGUCCACAGAGCUCCAAAUGAGAUGAUUCUUAAGGCAUUAGAACCCUAACUCAAAGAGCUACAACUUUCAUAUUUUGUACAAGAGUUAGUUCGGCCUCUAUCAUUAAGAAAAUAGUAGUUGAAGUGGUGCCAAAUGCAUAGAAGUGAAAACGCGAGCUAUCAAUACUCGACCUGAAGUCGCGUAUUCCUGAGGUCAUGCAUUCUCUUCUAUUUUCUGCAACUUGCCCUGCUUUCACAUAACUUUUUCAUCUCAAUUCCAACUAUCAAUUUCGGCUAUAUCUGAUCAAGAAAAGUGUGGAAAGUUUGAAAGACAACUCAUAGGAGUUUCAAGAGUCAAAAAUUACAAUUAGAAACAACUCAUUUGGCUCUUGAAUCCUCUAUAAAUAGAGGCCUUUGAAGAACAUUUUCACAACUUUGGAAGGUUAGAGAAACUCCACAAAAACAUAGUCUUCACUAGAAUUUCCUUAGUUCAUUAGUUAGGGUAGUAUAGUAUAGUUAGUGUAGCUUUUCCUUCUUGUAUUUAUAGUUAGGUUUGAAUGAAGAUUCAGGAGCAAAGAUAGAGAGGUUGAUCUCAUGUGACAAGGGUGAUAUCUCUUCUACUACUUUCUCUUUUGUAUUUGAUUUCAUAUUUAACUAUACUACAAAUUUGGCUUUGUUUUUUUUUUUUUAUCAUGUUUAGUUAAAGUUUAUGCCUAGAGUAUGGAUGACCUUUUUAUAUCUUGUUUGUGAUAUUUAACUGGUUAUUUGAUGAUGUUAUUUUUGAGCAAGUUAUUUAUCACUUUUGCUUUUCUAAUCAUGAUUAACUGGCCAUUAGUUGUGAUUAUCUAAAAGUGUUAAGUUUGUAAUGAGAAUUGGAGUUUAACACUAGUUCAAGGAAGUGAUAAAUUUAGGGAGUUCACUCAUGAGAGUAGAGGAACACCUUUGUGACCUAAGUGACUUGUUUCAUAUAAUUUCAUAGAAAAAAUGAACUUGUAAUUAAUUUCAUAACCACGAGAGUAAGUAUGGUUUAGCUAUAUGUAUAGUUGAUUCACUACGAGAGUAGGUUUCACAUACAUUAGAAAAUUACAUCAUAACUAGUCAAGAUAAUAUCAUUCAUUUAAUCAGUAAUCUCAUUUGCAUGAGUAGUAAGGCAUUCCAUAUCUCUAGGAGGUUUUUAGUAUUAUUUUCAUUACUUUUAUGUUUAUGGUAGUCUAGAUAAUAAUGGAGUUCGAAAACUACUAGUAAUUGAAAAUUUUCCCUGUGGGAUCGACCUUUAAUACCCUAUACUCGCUCUCGACUCGUAUACUUGAGAAAAAUCACGUGUGCGGUAUUUAGAAUUUAUAAAUGUAAAACUUGACUGUAGAUGAACUAAUUGAUAUAUGUAUACCCCGCACUCGUCAGUAACCAGCUUGUAUUGAUCCCACUAUUGUGGAUAAUUGUGCUCUUAUGAAAAAAAAUUAUAAAAAAAUUAGCAAAAUUUAUGAUAACAAAUUAAAUUUAUUCAUACAAAUCAGUGAAAGAAGUAGAAUUUUAAAGUCCAUGAUGAAAUUAAUACUUUCAAGGGCUCUAUUAGGAAGACUUCACUUGUUGGUGAAACUACACUAGCACAGUUAUAUGCACAUUUACUGUUUUGGUAUCUAAUUUCCUUGCCUUAAGUUGGGUGCAGAUGUUUAUAUUACAAAUAGAUGGUAUCAUAAAAUUGUUGUAUUCACGUUUGUUCUUUUUUUUCUUCCUUAAGUUUUUUUCUUUAUUCUCGUGACUUCAAAAAUACGAACUCAAGAAAUUGGCUGCUUAAUCAAUAUGUCAUACAGGCUUCGCUAGUGAGGUAUAACUUCACAACUAGAGUCAAUAGAAAUUAUCAAAUGAUUUUUUAACAUCCAAAUUAAGCAAUAAAUUUUGUUUUCAUUUUAUGACAUAUAAUAGUACUACUUCAUGAGAGAUUUUAUAGUUUCUUUUAGGUAUCAUACCUACAAGUGAUAUUUGUCAUUGGAUAGUGACAGAAGUGUUAAUGAUUGUAAGAUUAAAUAUUGUUAAAUAUUGAAAUUUAAACUAUUUAUCUUUAUUGAAAGAUACAAGUUAAAGAAUCGUUCAAGGGGGCAAUUUUCCAUCUUGUCUUUUUGAAAAAACGCUAUCACAUUGUAUAGGCAUGAUAGGUUCAAAUUUGUCAUUAAAUUUAUGAUUGAUUUUCCUUUUAUUCAAGCCAAAUAUUGUUUUAAUUAUCAAAUUCUACUUAUAUUUGGUUAAUUGUACUAAUUGUAGGGCGGUAGAGCAAAAGUUGCUAAAAAUAGGCGAUUUUCUGCAAAUUGGUUGUCAAGGCUGAAGGAUUUGGGAUUCGCAUGUUCAAGGCCUGUUUCCAAGUUUGAUUCAAACUCUGGACAGUUUUAGAGGAAGAUUUGGAAGAUUUGAAAUUUCAUUAUUAGUUUUAUGGUUGAAUUAGGAAUCUUGGAAUAAUUUCUUUUGUGAUUUAUUUUUCUAUUUAGGAGACUAGUUGUUAUUUAGUAGUAGACUUCAAUUAGAAAACAAAGAGAAAAAGAAGGCCGGAAUCCCGCUUGAUUAAUACCUUGGCCAGGGAACAAUCUCGGUGGGGAGGACGGCCACUUAGCCUCUCAAUUCAUCUUGCUUUUCGUUAGUUUGAGAGGAAAACCAAUUGCAACUAGAUUCAAUGGAGUCUGGCAGAAUUUCUUCUAGGAUGCGUAGCUAAAUCCUCAAUUUUUAGUCGAAGGUCAAUUUGAAAAUUCGGUUCCAAAUAUCUGUGAAAUCGAAUUAUUUUACUUAUUUCUUUUAUUUAUUGGUAUUCGCACGUUUUCUGAUUUAACUUUUUAUGAUUGUUUUGUUAUUUGAAUGUCAAGGGUCCGAUAUUCGAAUUAACUUAAUAAUCUACUGCCAAAUUAACCGGUUAAAUCCGUAAUUGUUUGAUUGAUUAAUAUCAGUGGCGACUAGCGUGAUUGGUCCCAUGUUAGGAAAACGUCUGAUCUAAUUUAAACAAACCGUCGUAGCGUGUUUGUUGAUUAGGGUUGGGCUUUUCUAAUUCUUAAUUCAAUUGAGAAAUUAAAUCCCCCGGUCGUACCUAGGAUUAUUUUUUUGUUAGCGAAAUAGUUAAUGGUCGUACCUUGACUAUCGAAAAAGUAAGGAAGAGUUGAUUGUUUAUCGCGUGUACGACAACUAUAAUCAAUCUAUUAAUGAGUAAUUGAAUUAUCUUUGCAUCAGUAAUCAGUUGAAUGGACCGUGUCUGAAAAGUUGUACCUUUGGCUAGAGUCUUAUCUGUUGUUGAUUCAUUCAUAUCUAUCUUCAUGCGUUGUUUUAAUUUAGUUAAUUAGUUAUUUUUAUAAAAACCCCUCAUCUCUGGACUCUAAAAGAAAUAAAUUAUUUCUAGUUCCUGUGGAUUCGAUCCUACUCACCAUACAAUCCAACCUGCAAUUGUAUGAACCCCAAUCUCGCUUCCUAGUCCACCAUUUUUCUCUAGGUAAUAAUCUCCCUUCUAAUUUCUUCACAAAAUGCACCUUUCAUCACCUCCAAUAGCGUCGACAUGAUCUUUACCCCAGAAGACUAUUCACCGACUCUCAAUUGACGUUAGAAAAUCUAAGAGUAAUUCUACUUUACCCUAAGAUUGAUAUCAACAAGACAAGGACAAUUUAGAAUUAUUACACGCCUCUUCUUAAUAGGAAAAAGAAAUAGAGAAGAAAGUCAGGCCAGGUCUAAUUUCUUUUCAAAGGCAAUACAACAUUACGAAAUCAAGCAUUCAUUCAUACAAAUAUUUCAUAGUCACCGGUUUGCUGAGUAGAAAAAUUUAGACAAAAACUUAAUAUUAUAUUGUUUAAGAGUUAACAAUUUAGAGCUUAAUCUCCUUGUACUUUGGAGUUAACAAUUUAGAGCUUAAUCUCCUUGUACUUUGGACUAAACUUGAACGUGAAAGGAAAUCCCAAAACCAUAUUGGGCAUGAAUUCACACUUAAUAUACCCAAUAAAAGAUGGCGACUGGUGAAAGGCAGUGGAGACUGGUGGAGAGAUUUGAGGAAUAGAAGCAGACGGAAAAGCAACAAAUUUUUGCCGAAAAACGGUCACUUUCAUGGUUAAUUUUGCUACUCUCCAAUUGUACUUGACCAAUUACAACAAUUUCAUGGAGUUUGAUACGUGAAAAGAAUUUUUUAUAAAUUUUAUUUUGAUCCAUAAUGUUAUCUUUACAUAUAUAAAACAUUUUACAAUUUUGAUUUUGGCGCAGUUAACUUUUGGUAAACAAAAAUGCUCAUGUUUAAAAAACCGGAAAUAAAACAAAACAAGAAACAAAAGAAAUAAGAGGGUAGCAUAGACAUUUUGGAUUUUUCCGUUAAUUUGGAUGAUUUCCACCCACGUUCUAAUUUAAUCCAAAACACAAAGGAAUUACGUAGAGGUUUUAAAUAAUGAGGGAGCUUCAUGAUCGAACCCCAAACCACAAGGCGAUUUACUAUAUUUUACUCUUAAAUUUUGGUUUCAUCUCAUAGCAUACAAGAGUUCUAUUUCACUAUCUGUAGACAAAGACUUUCUAUGGUUGAUGUACCAUAGGAAAAAAUCUGCCUAUACAACGUGAUAGCAUUUUUUCAAAAACACAAGAUGGAAAAUUGCCCCCUUAAACGGGGAAAUUCAUGAUCUUUCCUCGAACAAAGAAUACUCACGCCUAUUCAAGAUGGAAAAUUGCCCCCUUAAACGUCUAUUUGUCAAUUCUUGAAAAAAGAAUACUCACGCCUAAAACACGGCCUCUUCAUCUGCAGAAUUCUAAAAAGUUAGGUAAACUCUAUAAACAAGUUGAUAGGUACAAUCGUACCCAAGAUCAAGUACAGAUAGUUGUACAUUCACUGCUGCAAUAACUAAUCUGAUGACUUACAAACAUAUCAUGGUCAAUCGUUGAAUGGUAAUGAGUCUUUUGUUAUGCAUUAGUAUUAGUGUGUACACUCUAAUAGAUUGAUACUUAUACUCUUUAAAUUAUCAUAAUAAUACCCUUAAUUAACUUUAACUCUUAAAAAGAAUACGUGUUAAUACACGAGAGUGUGUAACCUGAAUUGUUACUUAUACAUUAGUGUGUAAUAGAUAGGGAUGGCAAUGGGGGCGGGUGCCCGCAGGCAACCGCCCCGCGGGGGGCUCUCGGGGCGGGGAGGGGGGAAUUUUUUCCCCCCGUUUAGAAACGGGGCAGGGGACGGGGGAGUAUACCCCCGCCCCAUCCCCCGCAAAAAAAAUUAUAUAUAUAUAAUUAUAUAUAAUAUGUAAUUUAAUUAGUUAUAAACUUAUGAUAAUGAUAUUAUUAGUUAGAUGUAUUAUAUAAUGUAUAUUAGUGUAUGUAAUAUAAUUAAUAUUAUCAAUUAUACGAAUAAUUAGACAUGUCUACUAAUAGAAUUUAUUAAUUAGUUAUACUAAAUUUACUAAUACAUUUAUACUAAAUUUCUAAUUACAUUUAAUAGAAUAACACUUUUUUCUAAAAAAAAAAGCACAAACACAAUAAUGAAUUAGUGAUUGUAUUUUUACCAAAAAUGAAAACUUAACUAUUUUAGUUGCAUUUAUUUCAUCAUGUUGGAUUGUAUUCAAAUAAUUUUUGUUUGAUUGUUUUUAUGAGUUUCAAUUGUAAAAUUAAAAUGAAUAAUAACUUGAUGAAUAAUAAUGUCAAUCGUUGAAUGGUGUGUACACUCUAAUAUUAUGCAUUAGUAUUAGUGUGUACACUCUAAUAGAUUGAUACUUAUACUCUUUAAAUUAUCAUAAUAAUACCCUUAAUUAACUUUAACUCUUAAAAAGAAUACGUGUUAAUAACUCUUAACCUGAAUUGUUACUUAUACAUUAGUGUGAAAUAGAACGGCAAGCAUUGAGCAACUUAUAGGAGAAAUAGUCCUAUAAGCUGUUGGAUGACUAAUAUAGCUCUAGCUGUAAUGUUUUAAUUAAAUUACAUCACUAACGUUGGGAUGACUAAUGGUUUAAAAAUAAUUGAGUAAUUGGAAAAAAAAAAAGAGACUAAUUUUCAUUGAAACCCACCGACAAACUAAACGUGUCCAUGGCUUUUGAAUAGUGCAUUCAACGUUUAAUUGUAUAGUCCAGUUCAUUGCAGAUUACAUGGAGUAAAGAUUGUGCUCUUUCCUUUUUCACCCCUUUUGGAAUCGAUACUGUGGAGAAUUGGGUUUUUCCCUUCUUUUUUUCUUUUCUUUCUUUCUGUGCUUUGCAAAACAUAGGUAAAAUUAUGAAAUCCGAAGCAUUCUUUAAUUGGGAUUAAGUAUUGUUCUUGAAAUUAAAAAGAAGAAAGAAAGAACAACAAAAUUCCCUGAUUGGUUGCAUCGUGCUUCCAUAGAAGCUCUCUUAGUGUGAUACACUGCUUUCAAUCAGUUUAACAUGGAAAAAAGAAAGAGAUGAAAAGCAAAUUUGGUGGGGAUAAUUUCAGAAACCUCCCCUGAAGAUUUUGACUAUUCUACUGGUCUCCCUUCAGAUUUUAAAAAUUACACUAAUCUUCCUUGAAGUUAUAACAUUUAAAUUCAAUCAAUAAUUUAAAAAAUGAUAUUAUGAAAGAGAAAAUAAUAUGAUUUUAUCAUUGCCCCCCAUCUUACUACAUUAUUUAAUUAAUUUAAUAGCAACCCACACAUUAAAGAAAAAUAUAAAAUUUGUUAUUUAUCAUUAAAGAUCAAAUCGCUUAUAACAUCAAAUAAUAGUAUAUUAUUUAUAUUUUUCACUUAACAUAAUAUCCAAAUUACUCUUUUCAAUUACAUACUCAUUGUUAGACAAUCAACAACAAAUAACCAAAAAAUUUGCAACCAAAAUAUUACAAAAAAAAAUAAACUUUAACAUCAUAAAUAUUCUUAUCAACAUAUUAAAGUUAGUUACUGAAAUUUUUAUGGUGUUAAACUUCACUCUUUGUAAUAUUUUGGUUACAGAUUUUUUUUGAUUAUUUUUUAUUAAUUAUGUUUGAUGAUGGGUUUGUAAUUGAAAAGAAUAAUUUAAAACUUACAUUAAGUGAAAUAUAUAGAGUGAUAUACUAUUUUUUAUAACAUAUGUGAUUCAAUCCUUCUUGAUAGGAUUGGUAAUAGAGGUAGAGGGGGGAGUCGGCUGCAUCCGGUCUUCUUUUCAUAGAUAGUACAAUAUUGCGAAAUCAAUCGCAUUCACACAAUAAUAUUUCGAAGUCAAUGCAUGGCUAAGUUGCAUAAAAGUACGAACACUUGUUAUUAUAUAGCUUAAGAUUCAAAACUUUAGAGCAUAACCCUCCACCUAACACAAUUGAAUAAUGAAUAUUCACGUUUGUCAAAUCUGUCAAAGCACAGUUUGAGGACAACCCAUUCCAACCUGCAAAAGAUUUUUUACUUUUCUAAAGUUGUUGAGAGCUGUAAAAAGACCUACCAUGCUUACAUCCUCCGAGCCUUGGGAGUUAAAAAUGAAGGCACUGAGUGCUAUAAAAAGGGGGCUAGAGGCUGCCUAGAAGCAUAUCAGCCUAAAACAAGAAUUUGUUGUUAUGAUGGGAAGCAAAGCAAAAGCAAUGGGGUCUGGGCUGACUCCUCUUCUUGCCACUGUUUUAGUGGUAUUUGUUGCUCUUGGCUUGCCCUCAGAAACAGCAGCUGAUGAUCACUACAAGUAUUCAUCUCCUCCUCCUCCUUACCACUAUCCCUCACCACCGCCUCCAGUGCAUUUACCUCCACCAGUGUACAAAUACAAGUCCCCACCACCACCUCAUCAUGUUUACAAGUACAAAUCUCCACCACCCCCACCACCACACCCAGUUUACAAGUAUAAGUCACCACCACCACCUCCUCAUCCGGUACCACACCCAGUUUACAAGUAUAAGUCACCACCACCACCUCCUCAUCCGGUAUACAAGUAUAAGUCUCCUCCGCCACCACCACACCCAGUUUACAAGUAUAAGUCACCACCACCACCUCCUCAUCCGGUACCACACCCAGUUUACAAGUAUAAGUCUCCUCCGCCACCAGUUUACAAAUAUAAGUCUCCUCCACCACCACCUCCAGUGUACAAGUACAAGUCUCCACCACCACCAGUUUACAAGUACAAAUCACCACCACCUCCUCCCCCAGUUUACAAAUACAAGUCUCCACCACCACCAGUUUACCACUACAAGUCACCACCACCUCCUCACCCAGUUUACAAGUACAAAUCUCCUCCACCACCAAUUUACCACUACAAGUCACCACCACCUCCUCCCCCAGUUUACAAAUACAAGUCUCCACCUCCUCCUCACCACUACUAAGCAAUUGCUUCUGAGGUAAUAACACUUGUUCAAUAACACUUGAUAGCCAGCUGAAUAUUUGCAGGCAAAGGAGAAGGAAACCAGUGUUUGAGACCUUCUUGAAGAUGUAGAAGCAUAAGAAUUAAAGCCCAAUGUGAAGAUGAUGAUUUCAAGUUUUUCUACGUUACCAUUUCAAUAUCUAAAUUGGUUGUAGCGCCUUAGUUCCUUUGUUUAUGGGAUUUGUAUCGUUUUACGUACCAUGCAGUACAUGUCAUGUUUGUAAGGUUUUCUAUCCUGCCGGCAAACCGCAGGUUCCAUGUAAUAAAUCAAUACUAUUUAUAUUACGACACUUUUCUCUGUUUCUCUUAUAUUUUGUCUUUAAUAUUCUUAAUCAUAUUUUUAACAAAAAUAUUCAAACACUUCAGCAAUGGUUCACCUAGUUGAUCAUCGAAGCAGAGGCAAUUCCAAUUAUUUAUCAAUAAAUAGGAUAUAACUACCAAACAAGCGAUGGCAGUUAACCCCUCCUUACUGUGUCGGUGAUCAAGGUACGCCCGUUAAUCACUGCUCUAAUUGAGAAAUAAUCCUAAGUACGCCCGUAGAAUUUAAUUCCCCAAUUGCCUUACAUAUUAGAGGAGCCCUAUUCUAACCAAAUAACGCACUAUCAGGGUUAUUUUAGAUUAGCCCGCGUAUUCCCCUGACAUAAAUCUAAUCAUGCCAGUUGUCAUUAUUUUGAGGUAAUUAAACAAUUACGGAUUUAACACCUCAAUUGACAAUAGAUUAUUAAAUUAAUUAAUUAUUCGGAUCCAAGACAAUCAAUUAAUUAAACAACCAUAAGCACUACAAUCAGAGAAUAUGCAAAUACCAAUAAAUAAAUAAAAAAUAAAAUUAAAUCGAUCUCACAAUUUUUAGGCGAAUCAGAGCAUCCGUUGUCCCUUGACUAGAGCAAGGAAAUUAGUUCAUAUUUGAUGAACUAAACCCAUACAAAAGGGAAGCGAGAAAUGCAGCCAUUAUCCUUUGAAAUCUGGAAAAUUCAACUUGUCCGAAUAUCGAAUAGAUAGUAAUACUACAAAAGGUAAUUCAUAGCUUCCCUUUCGUCUGACACACAAGAAGAAAAAAAAGGGCUGCUAAUAACUAAAGGAGGAAAAGUCAAAGUCCUAAGCUAUGCUACAAGACGAAAAACUAAAGAAGACAAAAAGGCAGUGCUCAUUCCCUGCAAUCUCAAUUCCUAUUCUAUCUAAGUGCUCUCCAAUGUGCGGCGGCUCCCCUUCCGGAGAGGACGAAGUGGCACCCUUUUUUCCUGCGCAAUUUUCCUAUAUAAAGUAGUGCUCCUUGCAGCGGCUCCUGUGCGAAAAAAUGAAGACUUCGGCCCAAUUUGCCUAACAAGGGCUCACGUUUUGUUGUUCUAAAAAUGUCCCUAGGACAAACUCUAUCAUCUGAACUCUUUUCUUGCCAAAUUAGUACCUGUUAUUAUAUUUUCGUUCUACUCCCUGAAAUAAAUGCAAAAUAUCAAAAGUGAGUAGAAUCUAGCAAUUAAUCCACAUUAGGUCAGGUAAUAGGGAAAAUUAAUAAUAAAAUAAAUGAUAAAAUUGCAAUCUAUCACGGGACCACUGUGGUAAGGUGUGUUUCGCCUAUUAUAAGGAGUUCGGAGAGUUAGACGUGUUGGAGGCGGAGGCGCGGUCACUCCUGCACGCCCUCCAGCUGUGUGCAGAUCGCGAGGUACGGGCGUUGACUGUAGAAUCUGAUUCAAAGGUGCUUGUUCAACUAGUUUGCUCGGAUAUGAGGUCGAAGUGGCCGGUGUGUAUCGUAUUGCGGGAAAUAAGACAUUUGAUCCGGCGGAUGGGUGCAUCCCUUCAUCAUAUAUUCCGUGAGGCCAAUUCGGUGGCGGACGCAUUGGCUUCUCUGCAAUUGGGAGGGCAGCAGUACUACACCUCAGGCGUGGCGCUGCCUUUCAGGCCCAGAGGAGAGGCUCUGCUGGAUCGUCAAGGAGUACCUCGCAUCCGUGAGGCGCUCACUAAGGUUUGAUAGGCUAUGUCCUCCUUUCAAAAAACUUAUUUCAUCUACUCCUUGUAAUCAUUUUUCUUAUCAAUAAAUUGAGGCUUUUUAUUUAAAAAAAAACAUAUAAUUUAAGGCAAAAAUAUGAUCCUAGCGAGUAUCGCACUGAGACAUUAGGAAACAUCAUUAAAAGAGUAUUUCUUGAGUUAGUGCAACUAUUUCUUAGGGGAAUUUAUAGUUACAAAAUUCAAAAAUUUGAGAUUCUAUUACUGAUUAAUUAAGGGCGUUAUCACUAUUUUUCUUAUUAUCACCAUUAUUUACCCCACAUACUAUAAGUUUUUUUAGGGCACAGGAAAAGAGGUGGGCCGAUGUUUAGUUAUGUACAAAAGUUCAAAAUUUGUAGAUAACUUAUCAUGUGCCCUUAGAGCGUAGAAUACAGAAAAAAUAUCUUAAACUAUAACUAAUCCUAAUAUUUUUCUCUAUGAUAAACUAGCUCUUAUCCAUUUCUUUAGAUGAUGAAAGGAAAUAGUUAGUCACCUGUCCUCUAGUGAUUACAACAGCAUCAAAACAAAUUAGCACUCUUUUCCCGUAGUUUAAAAAUCCCUCAGCCACUAAGAUUUUGCAUGUCGAACGAAUUAAGGAACAUAGAAGGUUCGUGCUGCACCACAGUGUCCUUGUUGACGAUGCAAAGACAGAAAUGCAUCCGCGUAUACUUCCUUAAGCAUUUUGAUUACUUUAUGAUUCGAACUUUUCUUGUCUGACAGCUGGACUUAAUUGAAAAACACAAGUAACAAUAUUUCAAAGUUGAUUCGUCAAAGUUUACCCAAUUGGUGAAACUUUCUUCAUAGAGCUGACUUUGUAUUAGGUGACAAUGAUAUGGAAUUGAUGUCCUUCCCUUUUUCCUUUUUUUGUGUUGAAGACGCACAACGUUUUCAAUGGCAAAUUUAUAUGGGCUUUUCACGACAAAAUGUGUUCUGAAAAGUUCAUUCCAGAGGUUAAAAUUUUGUGUGUUAAAAAUUUGCUUCUCAGGACUUUGAUGGGAAAGUCUUGGUGUUUCCAAAAAGUUUAAGCAGGAUGCUUCUGGCUUUCUCUCCAUGUAUUUGUGAGUUAGAUCUAAAAUUAUCAGGGCUCCAGAGAUCUCUUGAAAUCGCAGCAUAUAUUGAAGUCUUUCCAGAAGGAGUCUUUUUUUUUUUUUUUAUGAAUUAUGAUAGAUAAUUAAUCUGACGGUGCAUAUAUAUAUAUAUGUGAUUUGCAGUAGGGUGUUUGACGAAAUGGUUAGGCUUCCUAAGUAAUGAUAGGAAUGCCAUUUGCAAAGAAGGACAGGGGGCUGGUGCUGUCAUAUUUUAUGCGAUUUGAUCCGUUGUUGUAUAAGUUUAAACUUUUGACGUGCAAUUGUGCUAUAAUAUUAUACUAAAUAUAUGUGUGAAAUAUUUUGUCUAUAUACAUCACUUUUAUCAUGAAUACAACAGCUGAGUAUAAUAAUAUAGUAUAAUGUAAUUGUACACCAAAUAAUGUAGCAAAUAUAACAAUUGAUCCGAAUUACACGGAACCAUAACAACAAGAUCACCGCCUCCCAAAUUUUACAAAAUUAGGUUUUUUUUUUUUCUCUUAGAUUAUUGAAAAUUUUCAAAAAUAAUCUACAUAAUUUAAGCUUUUGUCCUACAAAAAUUUGAAGAGAUUUUACAUUACAAGCUUAAGCUUAGAUAUAUUAAACUUUGCCCCCAAGAUUAAUUUUCCGUUUUUAUCUAUGAACCGAUCCAUAUAGCUAGUUAGACUGUAGUCCUCACAUUUGUGGGAUUUAACACCCAAGAUUCUCCUUCUUGGAAUGUAAAAUGUAGAUCUUCUAUGUUAAUAAUUCAAGACCCUACUGUCAUAAACGAAAUGACUGAUCAACUCCUGUAAACCUAAUUUGACAACAUUUAAAUGGAGAACUUUAGCUAAAAGAAUUAUGGUCAAGCUAAAGAAAAAGCCAGUUAUUUUCCAACAUAUGCAAUCAUUGAUCAGGAAAAAAAAAAAAAAGCAAAAAGACAUCUUCAAUCAUUUAAUAGCUCACAGUGCAAAUUAACCCCUAAGCGAAAACUGGUUGCUCUAGAAUCAAAAUUUUACCUUAGUUACCCAGGCAACUUUUUUGUUGCUUUUUUUUUUUUCUUUUCCUUUUUGGGUAUAUAUAUAGCUCCAGUUUUGCCCCCUCUGUCAAGCUUAUAUAAUUAUUAAGAUAAUAAAAGUGCCUUGAAUAGUAUUAAUAUAUCCAUUGACUUGAGCUGUCAUCGAUCGGUUUGGGCUACUUCGAUUCCAUGAGAACAAAUGGUAAUAAAAGUACUCAGAAAAUAGGGAGCCAUGAAACCCUUUUGUUCUAUUCAUUGCUAAGAUGCUUUUCUCUAUAAAGAGACUUCCUAACGAAAGUACUUUGUAGAUUUCUUUACUCCAAGUGGUGCAUGGAAAAUUAAAAUAUUCAAUUAUCAAAUAAAAUUCCCUUUUUUCGGUGUAGAUUUCAUCCAUCCAGCUGUUAACACAUUUUAUGUAUCCGAAUUAUAUAUUCUCUACCAAAUAUUGUAACUUUUCUGAGCAUCUUUACAUUUUUAUUCCCACCUAACAAAUUAGUUGUUGAGCAUCUUUACAUGCUAUCGGAUCACAAGUUAAUAAUCUUUUAAAGAACAUGUUAAAUUAAUUUAUUGGUAUGAAUAGUCAAAGAAGUAUAUUAAAGUUAGUAAUCUUUAAACACCACGAUGCAAUUAAUACUUUCAAGCUCAAGGUCUUUUUUUUUUUUUUUUUUGGUACUGUACUUCCUUGCUUUAUAGUAUGCACGUUUAUUUCUGUGGAUUGCUUAAGCUUAUAUUGUUAAUAAUUGGGCAUUUAACCAUAAAUUAUAAUGAUUAUGAAGUCAUAUAUAUAUAUAUAUAUAUAAGAAAAUUACCACAAUUAUUCAAUUUUUUUUGCAAAUUCAAAUUUUAUUAAUAAGAAAUAGGCAGUAAGCUUUUACAAACGGAAAAAAAAAAUCCUACAACAACUCUAGGACCUUUGAAAGAAAGAAAAAAAAAAGAAAAGAAAAGCUUAAGGACUCUACCUCAUAGAAGCUAAACAAUCCUACAAAUAAACUGCAAAAUAAAUCACAAUAACGCAAAAUUUUUGUCUUUCUUCCGUAUGAAAUGAAACUACGAAGUCAAGAAUUGACUCCUUUAACCGCUAUUGCCAGCGGGCUCCGUCAGCAAGAUACAACUUUGCAAUUUGAUUCAAUAGAAAUCCUCAAAUAGCUAUUUUGACAGGCAAAUUAAGCAUUAAUUUUGGUAUCCCUUCAUAAAAUACAAGAGUACUUUUGAUUAUAUCUAUAGAUCAACUUUCUAGGCUAUUUUGAUGUAUUAUAAGAAAAUCUGCCUCAACAAUUUUGAUAGCAUUUUUCCAAAAGCAGAAGAUGGAAAAUUGCCCAUUUGUACUGGGGAGUUCGUGAUCUUUUCCUCCUUCUAGUCUACUUACAAUUCUUGGAAAAAGGAAUACUCACAUCUCAAACAACUGCCUGUUCAUCUGCAAUGUCCUGCCGAAUUCUAGAAAGUUAGGUGGCAAUGCUAAUUACAUUUCAAAAUUGACUGCUGCGAUGACUAAUUCGAUGGCUUACUACAUGGUCAACGUUUGGAUCCCUUCCUGUCCUUUUUGGAUGCACAUUUUUUUUCUCUAGGCAAUAUAUAAUCUCCCAACUCAUUUCUUUACAAAUGCACCUUUAAUCACCACCAAAAGGUGUGGACAUGAUCUUUACCCUAGAAAACUAAUCACCGACAGGCAAAUUGACGUCAGAAAUACUAAGAGGAAUUCUAGUUUCCUUCGGGUUAAUGCCAUUUUGUACCCUUCAACUGUAACUCGAUUUCUAAACUAUAAUUUGUGACAUUAUAGUCCUUAAACUAUGAAACCCCUCUUACUUAAGUACAAUGGUUAAUACAAUACCCGUGACUAGACAAGCAACCAUAACAAAAAAAAAUCCAAAAUUAGAGAAAAGAAAGAAGUUUCGCGACCAAAGUAUGUAUCAAGGCAUAGUAUAGAAAUAAAAGUGUCCAAAUUAAGAGUUUAGGGAUAAAAGAGAUCAAGAUAUAGUUUAGGGAUUGAUUUGUCUCAAUUAGAGUUUUGAUGUCAACUAAGAAGAGAGAUAUAGUUGAAGGGUAGAAUAUAGAUAUAACAGUUCAAUGAUUGAUAUCAACGAGACAAUGACAACUUUGGAUUAUUACCAACCUCUUCUUGAUGGGAAAAGGAAAUAGAGAAGAAAGUCGGGCCUGGUCUAAGCCUGCUUCGGAGGCAAAACAACAUUAUGAAAUCACCGGCAUUCACACAAAUAUGUCAAAGUCACCGGCAUGCUAAGUUGCAUAAUUUAUACAAACACUGAAUAAUAUAUUGUUCUUAAAAUUUUUGUUUAAGAUUUAACAAUUAGAGCACGGUACACGAAUUAGCAAUAUUAAAUAAUGAAUGUUCACGAUUGAUAAAGUUAUCAAAGUACAGUUUGAGGACAACCCAUUCCAACGUGUACAAGAUGUUUAGCCUUUGAAAAGUUAAUUAGAGAAGGUGACGAGAUUUUACUAGGCUUAAAUCUUCUAGGCCUCGGAAGUAAAAAAUGAAGGCCUUUGAGUGCUAUAAAAAGGGGGCUAGAUGUUGCCUAGAAGCAUAUCAGCCUCAGACCACAUUUUGUAGCAAUGGGGAGCAAAGCAAAAGCAAUGGGGUCUAGGCUGACUCCUCUUCUUACCACCGUUUUAGUGGUAUUUGUUGCUCUUGGCUUGCCUUCAGAAACUGUGGCUGAUUACUACAAGUAUUCAUCUCCUCCUCCUCCUUACCAUUAUUCCUCACCACCACCUCCUGUGCAUUCACCUCCACCACCGCCAAUUUAUAAGUCACCCCCACCACCUUACCACUACUCCUCACCGCCACCUCCAGUGUAUUCAUCUCCACCACCACCUUCGCCAGUUUACAAGUCUCCGCCACCACCUUACCAUUAUUCGUCACCACCGCCUCCGGUGCAUUCACCUCCACCACCACCUGUUUACAAGUCACCUCCACCACCUUCGCCAGUUUACAAGUCUCCGCCACCACCUUACUAUUAUUCGUCACCACCGCCUCCGGUGCAUUCACCUCCACCACCACCGAUUUACGAGUCACCUCCACCACCUCCUCCAGUUUACAAGUCUCCGCCACCACCUUACCAUUAUUCCUCACCACCACCUCCAACGCAUUCACUCCCACCACCAGUUUACAAAUCACCGCCACCACCUCCUCCUAUGUAUAAGUCCCCUCCACCACCUUAUCAUUAUUCCUCACCACCACCUCCAGUGCAUUCACCCCCACUGCCACCAAUUUACAAGUCUCCGCCACCUCCAAUCUACAAGUAUAAGUCACCACCACCUCCUCCCCCAAUUUACAA
RNAcentral lists this long non-coding RNA (79625 nucleotides) under Coffea arabica (coffee). RNAcentral describes it as "long non-coding RNA (CARA_LNC007267)". Lineage: Eukaryota; Viridiplantae; Streptophyta; Magnoliopsida; Gentianales; Rubiaceae. The record is from RNAcentral.